AAUUUGUUUGGUUAUUACCCUCUUUAUUCCUUAAUUUCUCUUCCAAGUCACGUACAAGAGUUGAUACCUCCCUGGUAAGUACUCCGACAUGAGCCAAGAGAUCAAAAAGUUUGUCAUGAUGAAUAAAGUCCUUGGGCAUAUCAGAAAGAAUAAGUAAUAGGAACUCCAUCAUGACAUGAAUGUUUCGAGCCCCUGAAGUGCUAGGGUGAAUAACAGUUAUCAUAUGCUCUUGUAGUUGAAUGAUAUAUUCUCUGAGAAUAUCCGGUGAGGUUUCCAGGAGCUUCUUAAUGAAGCGUCCAACUUCUGCUGAAGUUGAAGCUUUCAAGUUUGUAUAACAUAUGUGCAUAACCUCCAUUUCAGUCGGAACAAUCUUCAAGAGUAGCUGGAAGAGUCGAGAGUCUCUAUCAUUCUGAUCAUCCUCAUCUGAGUCUUCAUCAAUCUGAUCCUCCCAAAGGAAGUGUCCUACUCUUUCAGCCAUCAGUUGAAACAGAGGUAAGACAUUCUCAACCGUCUCAUGCUUAAUGCAACCAUUCACUAUCAACCCAUGGAAGUCUCUUAUGUUGCCACAUACAUUCUGAAGAACUUCAUAUUGAGUCACUUCAGGAAAUAUCUUUUCAGCGUGAUGCUUGGAUAGAUGAUACAGAUUCAAGAGGAGGAAGUCCAAUUGCUCAUCCAUCAUGGUGGCAUCUGAUUUAUAAGAACGAUGAUACAAGCUGAUACAAUCAUCCAUAUUACUAGUGAGGCUAGUAAGGACAUCAUCAUCCAAAAGUGGUUGAAGCAGAUUCUCAACCUCUUGUCUUUUUCUCGUCAUUAUAUCUUCAAACUGCUCAAAAUUGGAAUAAGAAAGUUGAACAUAUGUACAAAUAAAUGCCAUUUUCAAUUUUAGAUUUUCAACUUCAUCUUUGUCAAGAGAUUUUUGAUUUUCCUCAUUCUCUAGGAAAACCAGAACAUCGGCAAUGUCCUUGUUAAGAGCAGAGAAUAACACCUGCCAAAAUAAUACAUUUUAAAGCCACAUAUCUAUAAUUCAAUACUUUACGGUUUACUCUAUAAAAUAACAUACCAAUGAGUUGUUUGCUUCUUCAUUAUCUUUUCGUUUUUCCAUGAUUCUACUUUUUCUCUAGACCUGAUGAAUAAAAAGUAGAUAAAACUUUAACAGGAGAAAGAAGAUGAAAAGAUAAGAAUAAUCAAUAAUAUCACUAUUUUCACACAUAGUAAUUUUAGACUCGCACAAUUGGAAAUGUCAAUCUUAAUCACACAUCAAAAUGUUUAUGACAUAAAAUCACAAACAUAAAAUCUCACAACUGUUAAGUAAAAUGUCAUUAAAUUAAUAAUCUCUCUAAUAAUAUUUUUCUCCUAUCUCCUUGGGCUAAUGGAAAAAGAUUACUCUUUUAUUUUGAUAAAAACUAGUCUUCGGAACUUGCAUCGCACGUCUGUCCCCUAAUUGAUAUUAGUAAAUUUUAAUUUAUAUAGCUAUGUUCAAAUGUAUGUCCUUUCAUAUGUAAGUUUAACAUAAGAAUUUAACUUUGCACAAAGUGUAACAUGAAAAUCUUGUGUUAGAUGUUGGAGGUCUGAUAUAUUAAAUACUUCAUGAAAAAUGAACAUUUAUUUUAUCAGAGGAAUUAAUAUAUUUUAAUUAUUAAACAUAAAUUUUAAUAAUCAAAAAAGAAAUUGUCUAUAAAAAAGAUACGUAUAAAGAAAAAUAUUACAAAAUGUUUGGGCGGUAUACCAUCAAAUUUAUAGAAAAAAUUAAAAUUUCAAACGAAAAAAAAAGAAUAAAUAAAGACGUCGCAUCCAUAAAAAAAGACAUCACAUUUAAAUAUAUAGACAAAAUAUUUUCAUACUAAUUGAAUUACAUUUUGUUAAAAGUAGACUUAUUCUAGACAAAACAUGCCUUACUCUAGACGAAACAUAUCAUAUGCAUAAAAAACUAUAAUCAUAUAUAAUAAUAAAUAAGACAAACAGAAAAGAAGACAUGAAUAUGUUAAGAAUAAAGAUAAAUUGUAUUUCUUGAACUAUAUAUAUAUAUAUAUAUAUAUAUAUAUAUAUAUAUAUAUAUAAAUGAAUUCUAAAAUAAUAUUAUUCAAUAUAUCAUUUAGUCAUUUUUUACUAUACAUUAUUUUAUUUUAUUUUUUUACUUUUGCACUUAUUUUGUACCUCUCUAUAACAAUUAAGUGCAUGAAUUUUUUGAAUAUUUGAGAUUACAUAUAAAAAGGAAAAAGUACAAAUAUGUUGGUUUAAAAAGAUAAAUGAUUAUCAAACAAUGAAAAAUACAUAAUUAUUAUUCUAUGGGAUUUAGCAUGUUUACCCUCAAAAUAAUUAAUGAUAAAUACAAAAUGUGAUUAGCUUUAUUAUAUAUAUCCUAAAAAUAGAAGAAAGGAUGAAUACAAAAAUACAGUAAUUAACUACAAAGUUAUAUUUAAAAACUCAAAAUGAUAGAGAUGUGAAAAAUAAAUAUUUACUUACAACUUCAUGUUGGAGUAUAUUCAUCUUGUAACUAUCAUAGUUUACAUAUUCCUCAACAAAAAGAAGAUGAAUAUGUAUGAAAUUUUAAAGGAUUAAAUAAAAUAGUAAGAAUUCUUAUAUUUACAAACUGGUAAUGAAAAUUUUACAAGGGAGGUAGACUAACCUACUGUAGUAUGCGAGAUGAUUAUAAACUUGAAUAAAAUAAGGAAUAUAUAUAAUGUGGUGUGAGCGUGUUUGAUAGACUCUUCAUUACCCCCCACUUAUCUUACAAAUUAAAGUUGAAAGGUUAUUAGACUCUUCAUUAUCUACAUUUAAUUAGUACAUGAAUAUAUGAUGCAUUAAGAUCUUAUUUGACUUAAUAUUUAAUUAAUUAAAUAGAUAUUAAUAUUAAUUUAUUUUAGAGGUAAAAUAAGGUUAAAAUGAUAAUUCAACUUUGAGGUUAGAAGCUUCUCACUUAUAAUAAUAAUAUAUGAUAAUAGUAAGAUUUUUUGUGAGAGUAGCUGAAAUAGAAUCAAUAGAGAUCUCCGAUUAAGCAUGUUCAUACCUUUUUGACAUAUUUUUGUUAGACAGGUUGAAGUAAGAGAUUGAAGUCUAGAUCUAGAAUUGCAAGAUUAAUAAAAUACAAUUCAUUGACUUCACAAGUCCUUUAAAUACCAAAAGUGCUCACUUAAUCAUUAAGUUUAGCAAAGAAGAAGAUGGUACCUUUACACAAGCUGAAGUUUAGCUACAGAACCCUUUGUUUGAGAAAUAAUGCUGAACCUAUUGGAGAAAAAAACAAGUGUAGUAGUUGAAAUAUACAAUACAAGUCUUUUAGUAAUGAAAUAUUAAAACACAAACCCAUAAGUCUUUUUUUAAUCAAUGUCUUUUGUCUUUCAAUUUUUAUACUGGCGAAGAUAAAAACAAGUGGUUGUCAUUUCAUCAAACACAUUGAAGACAUUGGCAAUUUCCACAUUAUAGAAUUUAAUACAAAAUAUCAAAACAUGAAUUCUUGAAAUGGAGUAUAAUAAUUAUUUUCUUCACAAUGAAUAUACGUACUAUAUGUGUAUAUGUUCAAUAUAACCGGAGAAAACAUUGCCAGAAAAAAUAAAUAACAGAGUUUAAAAUAUGUACUCAAAAACAAUAAUUAAUAUCAUAAGUAUAAAUUAAUGAGGAAAAAAAAUUAUACCGCGAUACGAAAAAAUAGAACGAAAAAAAUUGAGUCCACUGAAUGCACAAUGUCCUCUUAAGGAAACUACUAUUUCCCUCCAAUUCCGAAAAUUUAAAGAAUUACAUCCUCUUAGGAUGAACGAUGUUAUUCACCCAUAUGGGUUCGGCUCUGGUGGGCGCCCACCCAGUGACUCUAAUUCCUAAAUUCGUCUAUACUGUCAGUAACUCAUUCAACAGCAUCAAAGUAAGUACAUGAAUAUUUAAUUUUGCAGAAAUAAAAGAAAAUGAUUAUAAUUGUUUUUUGUUUUAAAAUAAGGGUGUGUAGUAUGAAGGAAAACAUUUCUCGGAAAAUAUUUUUUCAAUUUUCUCAUAUUUGGUUGGAUGAAAUCAUUUUUCUCAAAUUUAAAAAAAAAAAAGACUUCCUUUCCAAACUUAAGGAAAACAUUUUCCAAAAUUCUUUUCUAACCUUCCCCUACCCACCACCUGCUAGCCCCCCACCCAUACCCCUAAAAAGUUUAAGUUUAGUUUUUUAAAAUAUUUUAACUUCACAAUUUCUUUUUUUCACCCCUACCCUCGACCCCCAACCCACCCCCUACCACCCCCAUCCCCAAAAAAAAUAAUUUAAGUUUGUUUUUUAAAAAAUAUUUUAAACUUAAAAAAUUUAUUUUUUCACCCCCUACCCUCGACUUACCCACUCCCUACCAGCCCCCCUCCCCCCACCCCCCCACCCCCUCUUCAAAAAAAAAGUUAAGUUUGUUUUUAAAAAAUAUUUUAAACUUCAAAAUUUCAUUUUUUCACUCCUACCCUCGACUCCCCACCCCACUCCACUAGCCCCCUACCAGCGCACCCCCACCACGAAAAAAAAUUUUAAGUUUGUUUUUUUAAAAAAAUAAAUUCAACUUCAAAAAUUAUUUUCUACUCUAGUAAAAAAUAAAGAUAUUUCUCAAAAGUAUUUUUCAUUGAAAAAACAAACACUAAAAUAUUUUUCUAGAAAAUAUUAUCUACUGACCAACCAAACAUCAGAAUAUAAGUAAAAUAUCUACCUGUUUUUCAGAAAAACAUUUUCCAAGGAAUUUCCAUCAUACCAAACACACCCAAGAGUAUAUUCCUCUAUUUAUAGACAACAAAAGGUAAUGUGAACAAAUAUUUAUUGUGCCUUAUUAGAAAGGAUAGAACUAUUUGUAAAAAUUGCAACCCUUCGGAAAGUUUAUAACGUUUCAUAAAAGUCGCAACUCUUCAUAAAAGUCACAACUCUUCAUUAAAGUCGCAACUAUAUACAUAUAUACAAAUCUUAUAGGGAUGAACAAGUUUGAACAAGUUUCAGUUUUGUAAACUAUCUUGAUCUUCGAUUAAUUUCACGGGAUAUAUAGAUCUAGAUCUACAUGUACAAAUAGUUUAUCUUCUUUUUUUUGAAAGAAUUUUCUUGUGUAUUAUGUACGAGUAUAAAUAUACAGGAAGAAAUGCAAAAUUUUAGCACAAUAUGAAGUGUCUAAUCAAUCUUGAUAUUUAAGCACCCAAAUUCAGUAUUUCGCUUUGAUAGGUUCAUAAUUAAGAAUCAAAAUAAUAAUAGAGACUAAAAUAAAAUUCAUUGACUUUUCAAGUCUUUUUCAUCAAUUUUGUAAAUAUGUAUAUUCAUAUUACAAGUUGAUAGACUUGUGGAGAUUGUUAAUUAGCUUGUGAAUGAAGAUGAUGUGUGUGUAGAUCAUGGAUUUGAGCCACUAAUGUUUCUAUACUAAUGUUGGGUGUAGGCUGCGUUCUUGUUAGCGGAAACGUGAAAUUAAAGAAUAAGGAAGAACAAUAAUGAAAAUAAGAAAAGAAGAAGAGAGUUUUGAAGCAUGAACUAAUUACCUCUGCAAUAUUAGAAGCCCUGCUCCUUGUUUCAGAAACAGAGUAAUUGUUUGCCAAAUGAUCCAAUUAAUGUAGUUGAAACAAGAUCUGGACUUUAUUAUUAUUAUUAUUAUUAUAAGUCUUGUUAUUCACAUAGGAAGAUUCCUAAAUGAGAUUAUUAAUUCAACUGGCUAACAAUGAAUUAAUUACUUGAAAGGCCAACUUAACAAGAAUAAAAUAUAUAUAUAUAUACAUCUUGACAGUUUGUUCAUUCAUAAUACUAAAAUACAAUUCAUUGACUUUUGAAUUAUACAUCUAUCAUCUUUUUGGUGCUUCUAAUUUUGAGUGACAACGACAUUAUCAUAUGUUACUUUUCUAUAUUACUGAAGUGGAAAACUCCAAAAGUUAAUUUUUUUAAAAAAAAUAAAUAAAUUCCAUUUCCAAUUUUUAUUUUUUUUUAAAAAAAGAACAUCCUUCGUUUCAGAAAGAAUGAUCUAGUUUGACUUGGAACGGAGUUUAGGGAAAGAAAGAAGAUUUUUUAGUCUUGUAGUUCUAAAUUAAAAUUAUGUCAUAUGUACCAAAAUGUCAUUUAAUCUUAUGGUCUUAAACAUGUUACAUGAAAAAUUAAAAUUAAAAUAUUGUCAAAAAAGGAAAGGUGUCAUUCUUUUUUAAACAAACUAAAAUUGAAAUAGGAACAUUCUUUUUUAACAAGAAUAAUAUAUAUAUAUAUAUAUAUAUAUACUAGUUUGUGAGGACGUGCUUCGCACGUGUGUUUCAUGUGACUUUUUAUAGAUACGUUAGAAUAACUAAAAUCUCAUGAAAAUAUAUAUAUAUAUAUAUAUAUGUGUGUGUGUGUGUGUGUGUGUGUGUGUGUGUGUGUGUGUAUGUAUGUAUGUAUGUAUGUAUGUAUGUAUGUGUGUGUGUGUGUAAAUUGUAAUGAAUAAUAAAAUGUAACAACUACAAAAUUAAGAAGUCUAACAGAGUAAAAAAGAUAAAAAGAAACACAAUAUUUAAGAAAAAAAUACAAUAUAGACAUUAUUCUUAUAAAAUUGAUGUAUAUAUAGAUGAAAAAAUAAGUACAAAAUUAGUACAUAACUCUUUUAGAAAACUAAAUUAAGAAGUCUAACAGAGUAAAAAAAGAUAAAAAGAAACAGAAUAUUUAAGAAAAAAUAAAAUAUCGACAUUAUUCUUAUAAGAUUGAUGUAUAUAUAGAUGAAAAAAUAAGUACAAAAUUAGUACAUAACUCUCUGAGUUUUUAUUGAUUCCUUUCAUAUCCUAUCAAAAUUCAAGAAUCUUCAUCAUCUGUUUUUACUAUAGAAUAAAAAUAAUAUCCUAAUAAUCUUGGUAGGGUUUCAUGAGAUAAAGAAGUUGAAUUUAUAUAAACAGAAUAGAAGGAAUAUCAAAAGAUAUCUUAAAGUUUUAGUUUAAAUAUUUGGAAGUUAUGAAUAUGAAAAGAUGAGAGUUAUGAAUAUUAAGAGUAUAAAAGUUAAAUAAAUAAUUAGAAAAUAAUAAUAAAUAAAUGAAAGAAUAUGAAAAAAAAUUAAAGUUAGCAAACCAUGUAAAAAGAACAACUAAAGUUCUUAUCAUGUAAUUAAGCAUUAAUGAAUUUAAAUUUGUGAAGCUAGAGUCAUUCUUUAAUAAUAAUUAAGAGGACAUUAUUAAAGUGCAUCUCCAUUUUAUAGAUUUGCACCCUUUAAAUUAUUAAAUUUAGUUAUUUAUCAUAAAGGAUAAUACUUUAUCCACAAUUAUAUUAUUCAUGAGAGGGGUUAAGAAAAAAGUUAUAAGAAAAGGAAAAGAAAAGAAAUUUAGGUAAAGAUUUUUUCUAAAAAAAAUUAUAAUUAUUAUAUACACAUAGAUUAUAGAUGAUAAAUAUUAAUAGAUUAGAUAUUUAAUUAGUAAUUAAUCUUAGGAAGUCCAAAAGUCAUUAACAUUUAAUUAAAUUUAUACAAUCAAAUAUUAAAUAUUUUAUAACAAUUUAAUUUAUAGUAAAGGUAAAAGCGUAAUUCAACUUUCAACUUUUUUGUUCAUGCUUUUAGUAAUAUAUGAUAUAUAUAUUGACGGUUUGUUCAUUCAUAAUACUAAAAUUCAUUGACUUUUGAAUUAUACCUAUCAUCUUUUUUUGAGUUACCAACGUCAGGGGCAAAUGUAUAUUGUCGAGACAUGAAUGAUUUGGCUUUUAGAUGAGAUGGUCACAUAUAUAAUAACUUUAGGAUCCACCCGAACCCAAUGAGUCAAUGACGAUAGAUUUUUCCUGUAAUUAACUUUAAGGUUGAUGAGGUGAAAGGAAAUUUUACUCAUUUCUACUUAAUAAAUUCAGUUGAGACUUUUAUCAAACACAUCUUUUAACAUUAGCGGUUUUCACUACAAGACUUGAUUUUUAAGCAGCAAAAAUGGUUACUUAUAACAAUAGAGAACAUGUUAUAAUGCUGCUGUCACUUAAAUUAUGCUCCAUAAUUUUCCUUUUUGAUUUUUGUUAAUCAUGCUGACUGGAUUAACUUGCACACAUUUCAAUCAAUUUCACAAGAUACCGUUCACUUUCAAUUUGCAUGCACUUUGACUAAUUUCAUGCUUAACUCUAUUCGUCAAAGACAUGGAUAGAUUAUAGAAAAAAGGCAAAAUACAUAAAUAUGUCCUAUUAACUUGACUUCAAAUAACAUUUAUGACCUUCAACUUUGGGCAUGCACAAAUACACACUUAAACUUGUAUAAAGUUUAUCAAAUAAACACACAUGUCCUAUAUGAUAUCCUACAUGUAAUUUUUUGUCCUACGUGGUGUCCUGUAGGACUCGUGUGUUUAUUUGUUCUAUUUUAUAUAAGUUUAAGUUCUACUUGUUCAUAUUCAAAUUAAAGUUGGAGGACAUAAACGUAAAAUGAGGUCAAGUUAAAAAGUACAUUUAUGUUAUAUGCCAAUAAAUCACCCUUUUCUUGCUGAACUGCAUUGCUCGCUGCUCAUGAAAGAGUAUUAAUUUCUUAUUUUCCAUGCUAUGUAUGAUCAAAUUUUGGACUAUUUUGAUAAAAUAAAAGGUAAAAAAAGGCUCAAUAUGUUGAAUAUUUUUGGGUGUGGAGACGACGGGGCACUAUCGAUUUCUCACAACUUGAAUUUUAUUAUAUCAAAGUAAGAACCCGAUACAGUCUUACAAUCUUUACAACACUUGUUGUUUUCUUCAGCAACACUCUUUACUUGAGCAUUCAUUCUUGGUUGCUCUCUUGCUUUUAUUACUUUGUUCUUGCUAGCUUGCCUACAACUCAAAUGGACCACCUCUAUUCACAGGAGGUGAUAGAACAAUCUAGCUAAACAUAUUUUUCUGCUAUAUCAUAGAAUAUUCCUUUAAUUACUUAAUUCUAGAAUUACCCUAUCUAGAAUACUAGUCUCUCUAGAAUACACAUUUAGAGAUCUUCCUCAAUUCUCCAUAACUCCGGAAUAUUCUAGAUUUUCUUGACUUGUCUUGAGUACAUAAUUAAGUUGGCGAUGAAUUCUUUAAAAAAUAUAUUAUCGAAUUUUGAGAAAAAGUUUAUUUAUGUAGCUUGACUCAUUUAUGUCAUUGUCGUUUGAGAAAAGACAUAUUCAUGCUAUUAUUUUUUAGGCAUAUUACAUGAAUAUGCCCUUUAACUUGAUCUCCUUUCACAUUUAUGUCCUCCAACUUUGAAUGUGCACAAGUACACACUUAAACUUGUAUAAAAUUAAACAAACAGACACAAACGUCCUACUGGCAUCCUACAUGAAAAUUUGUGUCCUAUGUGGUGUCUGUUAGGAUUGAAUUCACGCACUCACACUUGAUGAAUGAAGAACACAAGAACUUUCGAAAGAAAGAGAUGAGAGAUCUAGAGAGAGAAAUAUAAAAUCCAAUAUUUCGUGGUAACACCCCGUGAGUAAACUUCCACGGUGGUGAGGUAUAUUUAUAUUAAUAAAUCAGAAUAUUUUUUAUUGCAGAGAAUAAAUAGUAAAGCCUAAAAUUUCCAUAACCCCUGGCAAUCUCACCGCGGAGGUUAAACCACAUAAACAAUUAUAUAUAUUAAUCAAGCUCCACAACCUAACAGUGUCUUGCAUGUAUUAUGACAAGUAGGACUCGUGUGUCUAUUUGUUCGGCUUUACACUAAUUUAACUGUCUUUUUGUGCACACUCAAAAUUGAAGGACAUAAAUACAAAAUAAGACUAAGUUAAAUGGUAUAUUUAUGUAUUAUACCUAUUUUUUAAUUCCAAUUAUGCAAAAUCAUUUUUUAAACCUGACCAUUUAUUAUUCGACCACAUCAUUAAUUUUAAAACGUGAAUAAUCUGACAUAUUGUCUUUGCCAAUUUAUCCUCCCAAAUUGGGAUGACACACCCAAUUUUUAUAUUCUAUUAAUUGAGUAUUGAGUACUGAGGUGAUUUCUAAUUAACAUAAAAUCAUAUAUAAAACUAUAAAUAUAGAAACAUGUGAAAUAAGAUGAUUAUAUGGUUACUAACAUAAUAAGAUAUGAUUUGUAAAAAAAAUUUAUACACAUCAAUACAGUAAGGUUAUUUGCUUUCAAUUUCUAUUACCACUUAACAAUGAAAUCAAUUAAUUAGCUAUAAAGAGGCAUAUUUAUGUAAUUUCUAAAGAAAAAUGGAAUUGAGCAUAUUAUUGUACUUAUUUUAUUAUUUAAACCAAAAGUGACAAAACUUAAGGGACUAACUAUUAUAUUUGAAGGGUACAAAAUGGAUACUAUCCCUAUACAUAAGUGAUAAUUUUGUCUUAAAAAAGAACUCUGAUUAUUUCAGUUGCGAUUUUGGUAAGCAGAAUCUUGAUCCUAAAAAGAAAAAUACUUCAUUAUGAUUUCUUCAUUUUGAAGACAAGUUUGAGUUUGAAAUUCUCAUCGUGUUUGUCACCUACUAUGUUUGAACUUCACCUCAUAAGUUAAGUUCUAUUUGUGUUUGUCGAACAAUAAUUGAAUCAAUGACAUCUUUUGCCUCAUAUGCCACAUCUAAAACACGUGGCCAGAGAUCCUUGUACCAUUCUUGCUCAAUAUUUCUUAUCCAUUCGAGGUCUUGUUUCACCAGCCCAACUUCUUCCUUUAUCAAAGCAAUUGAAUAAGCAUUGGAAUCCAACAAAUCAUCUAAGUGUCUCUGUAGAAGAUGCAUGAAGAGAGGUCCAUGAAUGAUAAACAUGUUUGAGAUAAACAUCGUUCUACAACUUGAUUUAGAACGAUGUUGUGAGCUUAUAAUCAAUAUUAUCCCUGAGGCUAGCAAAGGACACGAUGCAUGUCGUAUUUACAUGCAACGUUGUUGUCAACAUAAUAUAAAAUUGAUUGAAUCAGAUUCUCAACCUCUCGUCCUUUGGCAGUCAUUACAUCUUCAAACUACUCCAAAUCAGAACAUUUCAGCUUUUCAACUUGAUCCACAUCAACAACUUUUUGAUUUUUAUCAUUCUUCAAUCUCUCUAGGAAAUCCAGAACAUCGAUAAUGUCCUUGCAAAGAGCAGAAAAUAAUACCUGCGAGAAUAACACAUAUCAAAUUUUUAAGGCCACACGAUAUCUACAAUUCAAUACUUUACUCUCUAUCAAAUACUAACAUACCAAUGAGUUGCUUGCUAUUGUCGUUUUUCCAUGAUUGUAAUUUUCCUUUCAAGUUCUGCAUAAAAAGUACACACAAACUUUAUCAUGUAAGAAGUCACCCUGCUUCUCACCUAGUAAGAAUUCACACUUACCGGAUGUUUAAUACCAAACUAAUACAACUUAUCAUGGGUAGGUAAUGAUUUAAUAAGGUGAAUAUAAACAUUAACUAAUCAUAAUUAAGUGAUAAUGUUGUCAGUGACGGAGUCAGAAUUUUUGCCAAGAGUGUUCAUACUUUAGGAAAAAACAGAAUAAUGAAUAAAAAAAUUGUCACACUUGGGCUCGAACUUGAAGCUAGAGGUAUUCUUGCACAGCCUUAACUGCUGGGCUGACAACCUUUAUUAUGUCAAGGUUGUUCAACAAUUAGUAUAUAUCUAAAAAAAAUCGAUAUUUAGUAUAUAUUCGGAAAUUUUUUUUGAUGAAGGUUGUUCAUCUAACCAACCUUGUCAAGCUAUAGCUCUGCCCUGAAUGUUGUGCAUCUAUUGAUUUGUUGUAAAUCGAUGGUGUUAGUACGUAUUUAAUUCUCUCUCUUUCUCCUGCAUUUUGUUUCUGUUUAUAGAUUUCAUUUUCCUUGCAUCAUUUUUUACUUUUCGAUAAUUUUACUUCAAUAGAGAUGAGAGUAGCAACCUUUUUACUUGAUGAUGAAACUAUAUAUCCUUUGCUUGCUUUGAUAUUAGAUUUAUAGUGCUCAAAAUUCUUGAAGUAAACAGAAUACGGUGAAAGAGAGUGAGCGCACUCUGCCUACAUUCUUGUUCUUCAGGAUAUAACAAUUCAAUAACGUCGGUAUAACUCAAGAAACUUCGAAUUAAUUUAAUAGUCCAAAACUUCACAAAAAAAAAUAUUUUUCUUCAACAUAUAAUUAUUCUCUUUUAUAUAGUGAAUAUAGUCGAAGAUUUUAGAGUAUUUUUCUUUGUCUCGACUCUAUUUUCACUAUAUUAAUCUCAAUAUAAACACAAUGUAGUAUUCCUCGUCUUUUUCACUCCACAUUUUCUUGUAUAUCUUUUGUUAUCAAAACAAAGUAAGACCAUCACUAUUCAAUGGUGAUACUUCCUUGCAAUAAAUAAAAAGAUUAUAGAAUAGUAAAUAAAGUAAAUAAAUAGUCCAAAAGUUACACAAAUUACAAACAUAAUGUAUUCGAAUAAUAACAUUCAAAAUUCUUCUCUACUAUAUUAAACUUUGUUGUUUGAAAUAAAGUCAAACCUUAAAAUUUUGUGGAUGCAAAAUUCUAAAAUUUAAAAAUUACAGAGUACUAAAUUAAUAAUUUUUAUAUAUUCAAUAAAUUUCUUACUACAAAUUACUCUUAUAUUAGAAAAGGCAUGUUCAACAUGCCUGCUUCAUAGGUCUGAGGGUAUUUUAGUCUUUUUAGUACUCCAUUCUGGCUACGUGUCCUGUUGUUGUGCUUUCAAUGUACACGUUACUGCAGACUACCGAUACAUCAAAAGUUCUCCUUUCUCCAGCAUUCUGUUGAGGUAAGCUUCUUCAUAUGAUUUCUUUGGUUUUUUUGUGAUCUUCUUUGUUUUCCUCAAAAUUGAUGAUUUUUUCUUCUUUUUCAGUUGGUUUUAGUGUUGAUGUUCAAUUUUUGUUAUGUGGUUGUGUUUUUCCUGUUUAAUUACUGAUUUUUGCUUUGUUUAUUACAUGCAACAAUUAAUUUAGUCUGUCUUCAUCAUAAUUCUUUUGAAUCUUAUCUGUUCAUAGAUGGUUCUUUGUCGAAAUUAACUUUUUGGGUUCCUUAAUUCCAGUUGUUUUUUCCAUCAUACUUCUUUUGGACUUCCUCUGUUUGUAUAUGUUGGUUUUCCAUUGGAAUUAACUUUUUGGGUUUCUUCAUUUUAAUCAUAUACUGUUGUGGGUUUCGCUUCGAGUUCUUUUUACAUCAUUGCAUUAACUUUUUGAAAUUAUUUUAAUUUACAGUGUGAAAAUUUAAAGAUCUGCAACUACUUAUGCCAGAAUUUGAACUAUCGAUGUGUCUUCUUAGCAAAUUCAAGGAUCUGGAACUACUUAUACCAGAUUUGAACUACGGGUAUGUUCGUUGAUGGUUUCUUACGCCCUUUAUUCCGAUUUUGCUCUUUGUCCUACAUUAGAUACGUCUAUGAGCUUUCUUGCUAAAGUGCAUCUUCAUUAUCUGAGUUGUGUGUACUGAAGGACCUGAGAGAAUUAGAGAACCGAUUAUUAUGGGUGCUUCGUUUGGUCAUGGGGAGAAAGUCAAUCUGCAUCUAGCCAGGGAAGCUGGCCACUCCUAUUGCCAAAUUGUCCGUGCUGCUAAUAUGAGAGUCAGAGAGAUAGAAAAGGCUCUUAUUAGAGGCAAUCAUUGAGUAUCCUACAACACACGUGUUUCAACACCAUUUGCUAUAGAUUUGUUGACCAAUCAAGUAAGUUUAUUCAUUUAUAGCAACUGUUUGUGUUGGUUAUUAUGGAGAAAAUUUUCUGUUCUAGCAUCAAUUUGGUCUGAAAUGAAGGGUUGUUGCUUUAAUCUAAUCAAACUUGGAAUUAUUCUUUUGCUUAUGUGUCAUAGUUGAUUCGAAUGACAUGCAUUCAAACAAUUGCUAUGUUGUCGAUGUCUUAAAGAUAUUCAUGUAUUAUGAUGUAUGAAUUUGUGUAGGUGCACUAACUAUGAUUCUAAUGAUGUAUAAAUGACAUUUAACGAAGUUUCGACCCGACUAUAUGUGAUCUGUAUGUUGUGAAUAUUGUACAAUGAUUUGCAUAUGCUAUUGGUUAUGAUACUUGACUUCAUAUGCAUACCUGAAAAAUAUUAGAUCUCACCUAUAUAAGUGCUCCCAAAAGCUCUAUUAAUUGGCAAUAUUACUUACUAUUAUUGUGUCUUAAAAAUAAAUUCUCAACAAAAUGGGUUUUCAAUGAGUUGUUGAACUUCUGCUUGUCUUACAUUUGUAUUUUCCUAUUGGCUCAUUUGUUUUUUUUAAAAAAGAUUCAUUGGCCUGUUCUGGUGAAAAAUAUUGUCAAUAACUUAGAGCUAUUGGAGUUAGCAAUUUCUUUAUUGAAAAACUGAAGAUCUUCUCGAAAUAGCUCUUAUUACUCUUUUUAUUAAUCAAGUGGAGUGUCAAUGGUAUGAUCAAAGAGAAGGUAAUUGUAUAUGACGAGAGCUGAUACAUGAAAAAUGCAUUUUUUGAACUUGUCAAGUCUAUCAGUGAGCCAAAAUUGUGUUGUUGUUGUAGUUAUAACUUAUUAUUCAUUACAGCUGCAUAUAACUAUGGCUAUAGUAUUAUUGAUGUAGUUACUUUGUGAAGAAGGUUGACUCAUCAUCCAACUUUAUAGUGAUAAUUAAACAAGUUUAUUUACUAGCUCUUCCUUUUGAUUAAAUUAACAUAAUUUUUUGUGUAGUUGUCCAUAUUAAUUUUCAGGUUUUGUAAAAAAUUGCAUCCUUUAUUUUCCUCUUUACUUUUUUUUCUAUUUUUUUAUUUGCUAUUUGGAUAUUAAUUGUUAAGUGUUAAUUGCUAUCAUUUUUUAUGCUAUGCUUAGUUUGUGGACUAAUAGUUCAAAGAAGCUUAGCAGUCGUCCCUAUUCUAGAAAUUGAAUGGUAAUUCUAUAUUUUAUACUGUUAAAUUUAUAUAUUAUCAGCUUAGCUUAGUAGGAGAAAGUUACAACAUGUGGGAAAUGAAAAGGCUAGAAAUACUCAAAAAUGAACCAAGCAAGUCAUGGCUUUUGUUGGCUUCUGCAAUAGGAAUGAGAUUACUAUGCUAAAAUAGAAAAAUGAAGACCCCUUUGUAGAAUGCAACAUCAUUAUUUGUUCCUUGCAUAAAUAAUCUAGCCCAAAUUUUUUUGUUCCUUGCAUAAAUAAUCUAGCCCAAAUUUUUUUGUUCCUUGCAUCAGUGUUAUUAUCCAUGCUCUUGAAUAAUUAAAAGCAUAAUAGUUGCUCCUCUUUUUGGCACAAAAAUACUGAAUUCAUAUUAUUGUGAGUUGUUUUUAGGAAUAUUAUUAGUUGGCGAACAAACAAUUAAUUUUUGUUCCAUAUUUUCAAGACAUCCAUAAAGUUUCAUCCCUUUAGAAUAUUGAAGGAAAAAUAUAUCGCUGAGACAUUUAUUUGUUAAAGUAAUUCAUGGUUUGUAAACAUCUUUUAUUGAACUUGAAAUCCUAAUGUUUCUCUAUUUAAUUAAGGUAGAACAAAAAAUGAGAAGGUAUGUGCAGGUUUGGACAAUGCGAUGAGAUGUGUUGUAAGAGUCAUGUUCUGAAGGAUUAACAAUGGAGUGUUUAUAUUGUUCGUGCCCCUGACUCUACUUGCUAUGUGAGGUUUGUCAUCUCUCCGUUUUAUCACUUUGAAUUUAUUAUAUGGAUGGUUCCUCACUCUUUGAAAGUGUAAAAUGUUUUUGUAUUGAUAUUGUGCUGCUGUGACUAUGUUUAUUGAUGCUCUUCUUAUGGCCUUUUAGUUUCUAUAUUUGUAAGGAGUUUGAGAUUUUUAUUUCAGGGUUUGCCAAUUGAGGAUUUAGGAGUGCAAAUGUAUUCUUUCAUUUCACAGCUGAGUUGAGCAGUCAUAUGUUAUUGUUGUGCGAAAUUCGAGAUAAUACGUGAAAAUAUAAACGCAAAAAACAAGACAACAGAUUUACGUGGUUCACCAAUAAAUUGGCUACAUCCACGGGGAAGAGAGGGAGCAGUUUUAUUAUGGAGAGGCAAAAACAGAAUUACAGAAUAGGGUUUGCCAUAGCGUCUAUAUAUAGUGCUAAGCUACGCCCUAACAGACUUGGGCCCAACAUACAGAAUUGACAGAUAAUUAAGGGCCCAACAGCGAGACCCCCGUCCUUUCUGUUGUAACGGGUCCGAUUCAAGGCAUUCAACAGUUAUGAUUAAAUAUUUCUAUUUCAGAUCCUCAUACUACUUUUUAAAUUACUACUGAAGUUUAGUAAUUUGAUUUCAGUCGUAGUUACGGCAUGAGUGUGUUAUCUAAUAUUUAUAUUCUAUUUUUGAGUUAGUUUUUUAUGUUAGUUAUGUUGAAAUUCAUUUUAUUAACAUGAUAUUAAAAUUAUACCAGCACGUCCAUGUUGUGUGAUUUUCAAUAUUUAUCGCCCUGCUGUGUUGGUGUGAUAGGGUGUCUCCAUAGAUUUCCAGAGUGAAAUGUUGUCUACAAAUGAUGGAUAAUAAUAUGCUGCGGCAGAAAUGUUGAAGUAGUAUAUCAAUUUCUUGCUCUUCAUUAUUAAAGAAAAAUUAGUUAAGUAGUUUCCUCAUUUAAAUUUUAGUUGUUUAGUAAUAAUUUAGAAUGCUAAUACAAACUUUAUACUUGCUUCACAUGAUGAGGCCUCAACAACAUUGGUCUAUAGAGAGUUCGUUUCAAUGGUUUUCAACAAGGUGUUUAAUUUGUUCCUACUCUAAAAUGAAUGUGUUAAAGGAAACUUAGACUGAAUAAGAGGUUAGACGUAUCUUCUCUUAGAAACACCCCUAAAAAUUCAAGUUAGUGAGACUGACAAUACUAUCUUUGAUUUGUAAAUCAGUUUACUUUAUUAGUGAAUCGUGAAUUUGUGAUUAAUAAGAUUUGUAAAUCAAUUGUUCCAAGUAAAGUAUAAAGAAACAAUUUAUAUGCUACCAAACUUUGAACCAUGAACUCCUCAAGCCAUGUGUUGUGAAAUAUUGCUUUUGAAACUUUUGUAUGUUGAAGUGUUUGUAACAGAUGUAGGAUGUGGACAUGCUUUCUUCUCUUUAUUUUUCUAGGGAAGUUGAGGCAGAAUCUGAGAGUGAGAAAAAGCCUAAACAGAUUUAAAAACUAUUUAUUUAUUCAUCAUGUAGACUAUUUAAUUAAAAAGGAAUACAUCUUUAAUUAAAUGUAACUAAAUCUGUUAGAACAAUAUCUAGGAGAAGAAGCUAAAAUAGAAUACAAUAGACUACCAACUAAAAGGUUAUACCAUAUAGAAUUAACAUCCUCUAAAUAAAUCAAAGUUACAUAAGUUAGGAAUUCCCUCUCCCAGCGCCAAAAUGUGAGUCUAAACCUCUGUCUCCUACAAUUUUAUCUAAUAUUUAGUGUUAGUCCGCCUAAAAGAUAAUGAAAUCCGCAGAUUUGAACAGACCAUAAAAGUUAAUCCUGAUGAUGAUGAUGAUGAUGAUGGUGAUUCCAACACGGAAGACGAUAGGGAUAACAAAGAGAAGGCUGAGGAAGCUGAUGAUGGGAACAAAGACCGUAGUAAUUGUAAGAGUGAUCCGCUUAUCACAGAUCAUGUUAGAGUCCUUUGGAUGGAUGAGUCUGAGUCUACAGAGAGUAGUAAUAAUGUCAUAGUUGUCGAUAGAGGAUUUCUGCAUGGUGAUUAUGUUGCUGCAGCUUCUGAUCCAACAGGUCAAGUAGGACUCGUGGUUGAUAUCAAUAUAUCUGUAGAUUUAUUAGCGCACGAUGGCUCUAUUUUUAAAAAUGUCUCAUCUAGAGAGUUGAAACGUGUUCGGGGUUUUACAGUUGGUGAUUAUGUUGUCCUUGGCCCUUGGUGGGGUAGAAUUGAUGAUGUUUUUGAUAAUGUCACAGUGAUGUUUGAUGAUGGUUCUGUAUGUAAAGUUAUGAAGGCUGACCCUUUACAUCUUAAACCAGUUGGUAGGAAUGGCCUUGAAGAUGGACAUUUUCCUUUCUAUCCUGGUCAGCGUGUAAAAGCUAGCUUCAUCGUCAGUUUUCAAGAAUUCCAGAUGGUUAUCUGGCUCAUGGAAAGCAAAUAGGUUAGAUUAUGAAUUCGACUCUGAUACGUAUAUUAUUUGGUAGGUCAUUUUCUAUUGACAGAAUUAUUUAUAUAUAUAUAUAUAUAUAUAUAUAUAUAUAUAUAUAUAUAUAUAUAUAUAUAUAUAUAAUUCAAAGAGUUAUGUACUAAUUUUGUAUCUAUUUUUUCAUCUAUAUAUACAUCGGUAUUAUAAGAAUAAUGUCUACGUUGUAUUUUUUCUUAAAUCUGUUUCUUUUUGUCUUUUUUUUCUCUAUUAGACUUCUUAAUUUAGUUUUCUAUGAAUGUUUAAUUACUGUAAGUCUUUACACUUAUUUUGUAACCAGUUUCUGAUAACGUGCAUUGCACAUUUGUCCCUUACGUUCAUUACAAUUUUUUUUAUUUAUUUAGAAGUGAGUUAUAAGAUAUUGAUAUUGAAAUUAACAAUAUUAAUUUUACUAUUUAUUUUUUAUUGAUUAAAAUAAAUCAUAAAAUAGAAUGGUGCAUUUGCUAUCAAACCAGAAAAUGUGAAUCAUGACUUAAAAUGUCUAUGAAUUCGUGAUAGAAAAAUAAUAAUAAAUGUAUCUAAUGCCUUUAAUGAAAGAACAAAGGCGCGAGACAAAUUUAUCAGAAAUAUAAAUUUCAAUUACACAUUUUGCAUUUUCUAUAAAGAACAUAAACAUCGAAGCUUAACGACAAUAUGAUAAGAUUGUCUUGCGAACACAAUUACUUGUGAUAAGUCCAUGGGUCUAUAUAUGAGUAUAUUCUGAUGAUAUGAUGUUUCAGUAUUCAUGAAAAAAUCAUCACUCUAUUCAAAUAGUAAAAAUAAUUAAUAUGUUUUAGUUUUCAAAUUUAAUUUUUAAUAAACAGAAAAUAAAUUAACAAAAUAAAAAAAACAGACGAACCAAUAAUAACAUUAUAAACAUGCUUAUGAUGAGUCAUAUAUAAUUUGAAGGAAACAAUACUACAAAUUCAAACUGAAGAGAAAAUAAUAUCUAAGACAUACUAAGAUUAAAAUAUGUUCUCUAACUAAGAUCUUAAUCUUAAUCACCCAUAAAUUAAAUAGGGAAAGAAAAGACUCUUGUAAAAGAAAUGAUGAUGUAUACAAUUUAAAAGCUUGUAUGUGAAAAUAAGAGAAUAAAUAUAUUGCAUAAAAAAAUUAUAGAUGCGAAAAAUACCAUGUGUGAUUCUUAAAGGUAAAAUUAUUUUACUAUUACCUGUAAAUUAUAUACUUUCAUCAUAUUUAUUGUUGAAAUUUCACCUUUUAAAAAAUGAAAAACAAGCUAAGAAAAAAAAAGUAAAAAGGGUAAAAAGGAACAAAUAAAGACUAAUAAAAUAGAGAAAGGAAAAAAUCCAGUGAAUAUCCUGAUUGAAACAGCGUUAUAGAAAUACUCGGAUAAAUCAAUAUACCUUGAAUUUCAAGAACACUUCAAAUUGCAUCACAUAUAAAUCUAAGAAGAGACAUAUUCUACAAUAAGAGGAGGGGGGAUGGGGGGUUGGAAGAAAACAACAACAAAGAAAUAGUGUUAAAAAUUUGACACCUUCCAAUUUCAAAAAAGAAAAAUGAUGAAGGGUAGGGGAUGCUGGAGGACUAUGAGAUUUCUAGGAACAUAAAAUCAGUUUCUCACCGUGUGGUUGUCGAGAAAUCGCUGCAGACACCACACUUCAUAUGUUCUUCAUGAUUGUCUUAAAGUCUUCGAUUUCUUAACUAAAAUAACGUUCCUAUAUCUUCUAUACCUUUUGAAAUGUAUAUGAAAAUGAAAUAAUUUACUUAAAGAUAAACAUAGUUUCUUUAUUUACCUGAAGAAAGUCAUUAUUUCACUUGGAAAAAAGAUUUAUUACUUUCAAUUGCCUUUUUGUUUAUCCUAUUCAUGGUUAUUUAAAUGUAAGUUUAACUGUUGUCUUUUCAUUUAUCCUAAUUAUUGUAAUUGAAGUGUGAAUUUAUUUUUUUCAGGUCAUUAAAAAUGAAAAUAUUAUGCUUUUAUUUUCAUAUAAUGUUAUAUAUAUUCAAAUAAUGUUCAAGUGAAGGGUAAAUUCGUAAUUCAACUUUGAGCUAAAGGACUUCCCACUUAUAAUAUAACUAGUCUCCGAGCACGUGCGUUGCACGUGUAUCCCAAAUAAAAAUCAAUAAAAAAAUAAAUGAAAACGUAUAUAAUAAACUAUUAGGAGAAUUAUGAUGUUUUUUUCGAGUGUUCUUUCGAUAUUUUCGAUCUACUGCACAUUAGAUAAGUCUCCAAAGCUUCCAAGAAAGACACAUCAAGUUAAAGAAUUAAAAAGGGAAAAUGCGACGUUACUUAAAGUCAUCUGGUAUCCUUAAUGUGUAUCGUUACAAAUGUAACUACUUCCUUAAAAACUUUCAGAUAUACCCAGACUUACAUUUACAGGCUUACAACUACUAUCCAUCACUGUUAGAGAAGACUUGGAGUUGCUACAUUUGUUGAAGAAAAUGUGAUAUAUUUUGCUAGCAAACAACUGCAAUUUCAAUUUAUUAUUAAUAGUUUGAAAGUUUAAACAUGGUUUCUUUUCUGUGGGAAGCUAUGCGUAGAGAGUUUCAAAGAGAGUUGAUCAUCAUUCAGCAUCAAACCAUAUGUGUACAACAGCAUUCAAUUUUUGAUAUGUGUGAUUAUACCUUUCAAGCUAUUUAUUUUACCUAUUAAAAAAAUUAGAAAGUUAUCAUUCAAAUGAAGUUAGCAAAUCAAACGAAAAAAUCUAGACUUAAUAAGAUUGUACCUGAAAAUUAGAAGACAUUUUUGUACCCACUUAACAAUGGAAGCUUGUGUUGAAUGACUAAUAUUGAGUAUGUUUAUGUAGUGUAGUCUUGGAGAUUUGUUGAUAAAAACUCUUUGAUAUUCCUCAAUUACUUAAUUUGAUCCUUUUCAACUUCUCAUAAUUAGCAAAAUACGUUUCAACUUCUAUAUUAAUUGAAACUUUAUUAGUGUUCAUCCUAUUUGGUUGUUUCACACAUAGUAAUUGAAUAGACUGUUGAACUUCUUAUUUUGUUCCUUUAUUAUGUAAUUCAAUAUUACUAUUUAAUUAGAUAUUUAAUUUAUAUUUGGGAAAAGUAUUUUAUUACUUUUUAAUUUAGUAUAGGGGCAAAGUAGUAAUUCAACUUUACACUUUAGAGCUUCAUGCUUAUAAUAAUACUAGUUUCUGAGGACGUGUUUCGCACGUGUAUUCUAUGUGAAUUUUUAUAGAUAUGUUAUAAUGAUAAAAAAUUUAUGGAAAUAUAUAUGUAAAUUAAUGAAUAAUAUAAUUUAACAAUUACAAAAUAAGAAUAAAGACUUACGCAAUAAAACAUUCAUAAAAAAACUAAAUUAAGAAGUCUUAUGGUGAUAAAAAAAAAAGACAAAAAGAAACAGAUUUAAGAAAGAUCCAAUGUAAAAAUUGUUCUUAUAAGACUGAUGUAUGUAUAGAUGAAAAAUAAGUACAAAAUUAGUACAUAAUUCUCUGUGUUUUUAUCAACUCCUUUCAUAUCCUAUCAAAAUUCAAGACGUUUCUUCAUCUACUUUAACUAUAGAAUGAAAAUGAUAGCCUAAUAAUCUUGGUAGGGAUUUCAUGAGAUUAAAAAAGUUGAAUUUAUAUAGAUAGAAUAGAAGGAAUAUCAAAAGAUAUAUUAAAGUUUUAGUUUAAAUAUUUGGAGGUUAUGAAUAUGAAAAGAUGAGAGUUAUGAAUAUUUAGAGUAUAAAGUUGAAUAAGUAAUUAUCAAAUAAUAAUAAAUAAAUGAAAACUAUGAAAAAAGAAGUUAAAAUUAGCAAACCAUGUAGAAAGAACAACUAAAGUUCUUAUCACGUAAUUAAGCGUUAAUGAAUUUAAAUUUGUGAAGAUAGAGUCAUUCUUUAAUAAUAAUCGAGAGGACAUUAUCAACGUGUGUCUCCAUUUUGCAGAUUUGCACCCUUUAUAUUAUUAAAUUCGUUAUUUAUCAUAAAGGAUAAUACUUUAUCCACAUAAAUUAUAUUAUUCAUGAGAGGAGUUAAGGAAAAAGUUAUGAGAAAGAGGAAAAUAUAGCAAUUUAGUAAAGACUUUUUUUUUAAAAAAAAAUUAUAAUUAUUAUAUACAUAUAGAUUAUAGAUGAUAAAUAUUAAUUAAUUGGAUAUUUAAUUAGAAAUCAAUCUUUAGAAGUCUAAAAGUCAUUAACCUUUUAAUUAAAUUUAUACAAUUAAAUAUUUAAAUAUUUUAUAACAAUUUAAUUUAUAGAAGGGGUAAAACUGUAAUUCAACUUUCAACUUUUUUUGUUCAUGCUUUUAGUAAUAUAUGAUAUGAUAUGAUUGUUACAUUUUAUUAUUCAUUACAUUUUGCAUAUAUAUUUCCAUGAAAUUUAGUCAUUCUAACGUAUAUAUAAAAAUUCACAUGAAACACACGUGUGAAGCACAAAGAUUUAUAUAAUCAAAAAUUCAAAAUUGCUGAUUUUCAAGAUUAUCAGCAUAAUUUCUUCCUCCCAAAGGAAGUGUCCUACUCUCUCAGCCAUCAGUUGAAACAGAGGUAAGACACAUUCAACAAUCUCGUGAUCAAUGCAACCAUUCACUAUCAAUCCAUGGAAAUCUCUUACGUUUCUACAUACAUUCUGAAGAACCUCAUACUCCAGGAAACAUCUUUUCAGCACGAUGCCUCGCUAGAUGAUAGAGAUUCAAGAGGAGGAAGUACAAUUGCUCAUCCAUCAUGAUGGCAUCUGAUUUAGAAUGACGAUGAUCAUCCAUAUUACCGGCGAGGCUAGUAAGGACAUCAUCAUCCAAAAUUGCUUGAAGCAGAUUCUCAACCUCUCGUCAUUAUAUCUUCAAACUGAUCCAAAUCGGAAUAAGAAAGCUGAACAUAUGUACAAAUAAAUGCCAGCUCCAAUUUUCGCUUUUCAAUUAGAUCCACAUCAACAUCCUUUUGAUCUUGUUCAUUCUUUAAUCUCUCCAGAACAUUGGCAACGUCCUUGCGAAGAGCAGAAAAUGACAUCUGCCAAAAGACCAAUCAAAUUUACAAAGCCACAUUUCUACCCUGCAAUAACUGCUGACAUGUUAUAUUUCAGUGCCCAAAUAUUUGACUUAUACUUCCUCGAUAGCUAACACAUAGUCCAGUCACUUCAAUGAUAUAAAUAACGUUUGAACAUUGGGACUGUACAACCAUUCAUUCUCAACUAUAAAUAUUAAUAGCCUACUAUAUGGCUUGUUUACCCAGAGUAAUCGAAAUUUAAUUUGUAGACAAAAUAUAAUGAUACUAACUCGCUAUAUAUUUAGUAGAUAAUGUGCUUGAUUAAAAUCUUACUAGAAAAUGACAUUUAGCUUGACUUCGGUGGAUAAUUGUGACCUUUAACUUUGCCGGUGCACAAGUAUGCUUAUCUGCCACAAAGGAAAGAGAUAAGAAAGUUAAUCAAACUUUCAAUAGUCUCAGUUUGAAGUCAAUGAAGUGAUUGAGAGAACUCAGGUUCAAAUUUCAGUGGAGUUAUCUGAUACCUGUUGCUGGUGCGUGUUUUCAAUAGUCAUGGCUCGAUACAUUAACUGUUUUUUUUCUGAGAAGGGAUACAUGAACUGUGUUUGUGAUAAAAGAGAUAAAUUGAUUGUUAGUUGUAAAACCAGAAGUUUCCAAGAGAAAGAACAAUAAUCCUAAUUUAUUAAUUGUGUUGCUGCUUUUGAUAAAUGCCAGGGAUAAAUAAACAGUGUAAUGAACUUCAGUGUUUAGUGAGAUAACAUAGUUAAACAAUUGAUGUCGAGUGAACUCUUUGAAUAAUUUAGUGGUCUGCCAUAUGAAGAAUAACUUGAUGUUGCACAAAUCCUACAUUUUGACAAUUCAUGUUUAUCUUUCCUAGUUAGACGCUUCAUUAGCUUUUGAGCUCUUCUUGUUCAGUGGCUCUUUUGCAUAAUUGGUUAUCCAGCUUACGCUUUAAGGCACUUGGAAUGGAUGUGAUAGAGGAGAUUACCAACACUAGUAAGGAACUUCAAGAUCUUAGGGUGUUUCCUUCUGAUCCAUGACCUAAUGUAUCCUUGACAGAGCAAGGCCUUGUAAGUGUCUCCAUGGGCUGCCCUAAGCUUCAGUCAGUUUUAUACUUCUGCCUCCAAAUGAUAAAUGACGCCUUAGUUACUAUUGCUAGGAACCGUCCUAACAUGAUCCAAUUUCAUUUAUUAUUGAGCCUCGAACUCCUGACUUGAACCACUUGAUGCUGGUUUUGGGACAUUGUGCAACACUGCAAGGAAUUGCAGCAACUUUCUCUUUCUGGCAUCCUUACAGAUCGUGUGUUUGAGUACAUCUGGGUCCAUGCUAAGAAGUUAGAGAUGCUUUCCUUAGCUUUUGCGGGGGAUAGCGAUCUAUGUUAAUCUUUCACCCGCGUAUACUUGCUUGAGCCUUGUGUAGUUGUAGUGCUGGUUAUGACCCUUUGUUGAGCGACUUUGCAGCAAUAUCAUUUUAAAGUUCACUACACGGCCUAGCUUUUGUGAUGAAAGUUCGCUGGGUUUGUUAUAGAGUAGUAUCAAUAUCGUUUUAAAUCAGUACCUUGACUAAGCUUUGAGCAUAUAAAUGGGACUUCAGACGAAGUUAGACAUAAAGGAGGUUUGGACAGCCAAAGGCAAAUCCACGGAGUAAUCUAUGAAUUCAUGUGAAUCCCUCAAUUUCUGUCAAAAUCCUAUACAUAUGUGAAUCUAAUUGUUAUUGAUAUUAACAUGAGGUCGCCACAAAUACUUGUAAACAUCAAAUCCUGGAUUCCUCUUGCAUACGGAUAAUACAGAUGUAGUAAUAUGCAGUCUACUAGAAAAUUAAUGUGUAUGUGAAUGGAAAGAAAAAAAAUAAAGAGAGAACGACAAUGGCAAACAACAUAGCAUAGGAAUAGUAGUUUGGUAUACAAGAUUAAUGUUUAUAAUAUGAACUUCAGAUAGUUACUUCAAUCUGGACAAAUUAACAAAUGAUACGUGUACUUAUAAAAAUUAUAUUUUUUGUUAAAAGAAACUAAGAGGAAUCUCAUAACAGGAUAUUUUAAUCAUAUACAAUAUCACCCAGCAAAGUUCAACCAUAAUGCUACUUAAAUAAGGGGAUAUUCUUCUGGCCAAGGAUCUGAAGCUCGCUCCCUCCUCUCAUAUCUUCAGCGUAUUCCUUAAUCUUGAGAGCAGAAUCUUCAAGUUGAGGACUCUUUACAAUUUUGAUAACUUUCAAUGAAUAAAUAUCUCCAAAACUAGGUGGAAUCUCCUCAAGCUUACGACAUCCCUGCAGUUUUAACUUCUCAAGAUUGGGGAAGGAUUCCUCUCCAACCUCCCACUUGGAAAGAGUCGCUAGACGCAAGUUCAAAAAUUUGAGAUUCUCAAAGGUGUCUUCCUCCCCCAUGUUCCAUUCUUCUCCCUGGAUGAUUGCAUCAUAAAGGGACAACUCUUCAAGGUUGGGCAGUCUCGCUAUUGUUGAUAGUGAAUCGGAUGUCAGAGGAAAGUCAUGCAAUGACAGUUGUUUCAAAUUUGAAGGAAAGUGAAAAUCCCACGGCCGAUUUGUCUUUACAGAGGACCCACUGUGGUUUGUGUUUGAACUUUUAAAACCUACAUUGAGUAUUUCUAGUUCAGUUAGGCAAUCCAAUUUCGGGAACCAAUGUUGCUCUGUUGAAUAAUCCCAUGACUCCUUGAGUUCAAACUGAAGCAUCUGAAGAUUGGGAAACCUUUUGAAAAUAUUCUUUGUAUCUUUCGAAUAGGAAAUCAACAGUUCCCCUAAUAUUCUCAACUUCUCUAACUUUGUGUCCUCUGCUAUCAAUAUUGAUUCAUCUGCAUCCAUAUCAAAGAAAGAACAAGCAUCCGCGAACAGCACUCGCAGCUUUACAAGAUCCCAAAUUCUUGGUAAUAGUAUCAAGGUUGAUUCUUUGUUUUCAACCCACAAUAAUUCUAGAUUCCAGAGGUUUGAGAAAGACAAAGGCAGAUAUUUAACUUGUGUCCCAAUUCUUAAGUACCUCAAAUGAUUCAACAUGCAUAUUUCAUUCAGCAAAGAAUCGUUCACCAUGAUAAAAGAGGUAUCCAGGACCAACACUCUAAGAAGCCUCAAGUGUCUUAGGUGAAAUGUAUCAAAAAGACUGUCAUCCAGCUCGUCUCCAAAAAUCCUCAAAGAAUAGAUGUGUUUACCAGAAUGCCUUUUCUUAUUUGAAUCAAAAAUGACAAAAUUAAGCCCAAAGUGCUCCUCAUCAUCAUCAUAAUCAAUGGUAAUUUGACGAGGCAACAAAUCUGUUGGAGCACUUGAUCUUAUCUGAUCAAACAAAUUUUCCUUUCUUGCUUUUAUCAAACAAAAGUCAUGCACAAGAUCAUGAAUUUGGAAAUUCAGUGCAUCACCUAUCUCAUUGAAACAAAUUACCAAGCUACUGGAAAUUAAAUCAUCCAUAUAAAUCUUCACCACUUCUUCCAUACUGUUCAUCUCCGCCUUUCCCACAAAUCCUUCAGCACCCAAAUAAACAUUAAACUCAUAGAUUGUCAAUGAAGUGUCCUUCGGAAAACUUGCAAAAUACAGCAAGCAUGGCUUGAGGUGAUGUGGUAAAUGGUCAUAACUUAAUUCUAUAACUUUCAUCACUUCCACUUCACUGUUCAAAAUAAAAGAACUCAAACUACUUUGAACUUCAAGCCACACACUCCUUUUCUUUUCCCUCCCAGCAAUGACUCCAGCAAUCAGAUCAGCCACCAAAGGAAGCCCUUUACAAUUUUCGGCAAUUUCUUUACCGACAUCUAAUAGUUCAUCAGGGCAACUCUCGUCCCCAAAUGCCCUUUUCUCUAAUAAUUCCCAACUUUCAUCAGGUCUUAGCAAUCGAAGGUCAAGAGGAUCAGUGUAGAGCUUUCCAUGCAAAGCUACUUCCUUUUCUCGAGUUGUCAAAAUAAUUCUACUUCCUUUCUUAGCUUCAGGAAAAGGUCUUGUCACCUCAUCCCAUGUAGUAGUCUCCCACACGUCAUCUAAGACAAUAAGAUACCUCUUUCCAUACAGUUGUUUCCGUAGCUUAUCAGGAACAUCAAUAUUCUCACUCAAUUUUGAAUCUGAGUCACUAACUUGAUUGAAAAUUUUAUUCAACAACUUCUUCUCAUCACAUCCUUGGUCGACCGUGCACCAUGCACGAAGGUCGAAAUGGCUAGAAACUGACUUAUCAUUGUAUACUUUGUAUGCCAAAGUAGUUUUACCUGAACCCGGCAUACCAGUGAUCGAAAUGACAUCUAGAUCUGCCGGUCCACUGGUGAGCUUUCUAAGUAUCAAGUUCGUCUCCUCCUCAAAACCUACAAUUAUUUUAUUAGUUGUCAAUGACUUUCUCUCAACUGGUUUCUUGGGAGAGUUCACAGCGAUUAGACCUCUGUCCUUGGGAAUGCUCUCAUCUAAAGCAGAGAUCUCUUCUUUGAUAAGUUUGAUCUUCUUUAUGGUAAUGGGAAGUGAGAAAAUAAGAUGUAAGAGACCAUUAUCUCGAACAAUAAUUGAAUCUAUGACAUCUUUUGCCUCAUAAGCCACAUCUAGGACACGUGCCCAGAUAUCUUUAUACAAUCCUUGCUCAGCAUCCACAAAGAAUGAUCUUAUGAAUUCCAGGUCUUGUUUCACCAACUCGAUUUCUUCCUUUAUCAAAGAAAUUGAAUAAGCAUUAGAAUCUAGCAAAUCAUUUAAGUGCAUGUGUAAAAGAUGCAUGAAGAGUGGUCCAUCACUCAUGGGGAAGCAACAUUGAGAUGAAUCCGGGGCUUUCAGAUAAACAUGUUUGAGAUCUUUCUUGAGGAGUUCAAUAUUUUCCAGCAAGUCUAGGGUUGCACAAUUUGUUUGGUUAUUACCCUCUUUAUUCCUUAAUUUCUCUUCCAAGUCACGUACAAGAGUUGAUACCUCCCUGGUAAGUACUCCGACAUGAGCCAAGAGAUCAAAAAGUUUGUCAUGAUGAAUAAAGUCCUUGGGCAUAUCAGAAAGAAUAAGUAAUAGGAAUUCCAUCAUGACAUGAAUGUUUCGAGCCCCUGAAGUGCUAGGGCGAAUAACAGUUAUCAUAUGCUCUUGUAGUUGAAUGAUAUAUUCUCUGAGAAUAUCCGGUGAGGUUUCCAGGAGCUUCUUAAUGAAGCGUCCAACUUCUGCUGAAGUUGAAGCUUUCAAAUUUGUAUAACAUAUGUGCAUAACCUCCAGUUCAGUUGGAACAAUCUUCAAGAGUAGAUGUGUUAGCUGGAAGAGUCGAGAGUCUCUAUCAUUCUGAUCAUCCUCAUCCGAGUCUUCAUCAGUCUUAUCCUCCCAAAGGAAGUGUCCUACUCUUUCAGCCAUCAGUUGAAACAGAGGUAAGACAUUCUCAACCAUCUCAUGCUUAAUGCAACCAUUCACUAUCAACCCAUGGAAAUCUCUUAGGUUGCCACAUACAUUCUGAAGAACUUCAUAUUGAGUCACUCCAGGAAAUAUCUUUUCAGCGUGAUGCUUGGAUAGAUGAUACAGAUUCAAGAGGAGGAAGUCCAAUUGCUCAUCCAUCAUGAUGGCAUCUGAUUUAUAAGAACGAUGAUACAAGCUGAUACAGUCAUCCAUAUUACUGGUGAGGCUAGUAAGGACAUCAUCAUCCAAAAGUGAUUGAAGCAGAUUCUCAACCUGUUGUCUUUUUCUCGUCAUUAUAUCUUCAAACUGCUCAAAAUCGGAAUAAGAAAGCUGAACAUAUGUACAAAUAAAUGCCAUUUUCAAUUUUAGAUUUUCAACUUCAUCUUUGUCAAGAGAUUUUUGAUUUUCCUCAUUCUCUAGGAAAACCAGAACAUCGGCAAUGUCCUUGCUAAGAGCAGAAAAUAACACCUGCCAAAAUAAUACAUUUUAAAGCCACAUAUCUAUAAUUCAAUACUUUACAGUUUACUCUAUAAAAUAACAUACCAAUGAGUUGUUUGCUUCUUCAUUAUCUUUUCGUUUUUCCAUGAUUCUACUUUUUCUCAAGACCUGAUGAAUAAAAAGUAGCUAAAACUUUAACAGGAGAAAGAAGAUGAAAAGAUACGAAUAAUCAAUAAUAUCACUAUUUUCACAUAUAGUAAUUUUAGACUCGCACAAUUGGAAAUGUCAAUCUUAAUCACACAUAAAAAUGUUUAUGACAUGAAGUCACAAACAUAAAAUCUCACAACUGUUAAUUAUUUACAAAAAAAGAAAAAGGAGUCCUGCUCGUUUACCAUUACUUUUCCAACCUAUACAAAGAAGAAAGUUAUCGACUUAAUAAUUAUAAAUAUGUGAUUGUCAAUCUAAUUAUUAUUGAUAUUAAUAUGACGUCGACAUAGAAACUAGUAAAUAUCAAAUCCUAGAUUCGUCUAUGUGUAUAUGGCAUAUAAGGAGCCUACAAGAAAAUUAUUGUGCGUGUGAAUGUAAAGAAAAUAAAAUAAAGAGAGAAUGAGAAUGGUAAACAUCAUCAAAUGUAUCUGUCUAACUUUUUUCUGCCAAAAAGUCUAUAAGGUAAAGGUAAAGAAAACAGUAAUAGGAAUGAUGUUUUCGUGUAUAAGAUUAAUGUUUAAAAUAUCAGCUUUAGAUUUGGCAUCAACCUCAGAUAAAGUUGUGUAUGAUCAAGUAGAAAUCUAUACUUGACAUCGGUGUGUCUCAUGGACAUACUCAUAUGUGAUGACGUGCCAAACGGACAAAUCAACAAAUGAUACAUGUUUUAAAAAACUUGUAAGUUUUCUAAUCGAAACACCGAAAAGUCAAACAAAUAUGUAAUCAUAUACAGAUCUACUCAUUAAAGCAUAACUUACUGUCUAUUCUGCUAUGUUUCUUCUUUCUACUUUCCACCCAUAAUGCUUAAAAGCUAGUUAAAUAACGGGAUAUUAUUCCCUUAUUUUGAUUAAAAUUAAGUAAAAUGUCAUUAGAUUAAUAAUCUCUCUAAUAAUAUUAUUUUUCUCCUAUCUCGACUUGGGCUAAUGGAAAAAGAUUUUUUCUGAGAGUAGCUGAAGUAGAAUCAAUAGAUUAAGCAUGUUCACACCUUUUUGACAUAUUUUUGUUGAAGUAAGAGAUCGAAGAAGUAGUUUGGUUGAAAGGAGACUAAUCAAAUAGCUAGAUCUAGAAUUCAAACAAAGAUUACUAAAAUACAAUUCAUUGACUUCACAAGUCCUUUAAAUACCAAAAGUGCAAGAUUACUAAAAUACAAAUGAGUAGUUUUUGUUGAAAGGAGAACAACAAAAAGCUAGAUCUUAACCAUUUUCAUGUUAUUCUGCUGCGAAUAAAGUUUAGCAAAGAAGAAGAUGGUACCUUUACACAGGCUGAAGUUUAGCUACAGAACCCUUUGUUUGAGAAAUAAUGCUGAACCUAUUGGAGAAAAAAACAAGUGUAGUAGUUGAAAUAUACAAUACAAAUCUUUUUGUAAUGAAAUAUUAAAAUACAAACCCACUGACUUCUCAAGUCUUUUUUUAAUCAAUGUCUUUUGUCUUUCAAUUUUUAUACUGACGAAGAUAAAAACAAGUGGUUGUCAUUUCAUCAAACACAUUGUAGACAUUGGCAAUUUCCACAUUAUAGAAUUUAGGGAAAAGGGUCAAAUAUGCCUUAAAAUAUUUAAAAAGGUCUAGAUAUACCUAAAGUUUGUUCAUUGAUGGGCUCGCCAUUCAAUUUUUGGUCCAAAUAUGCCCUUAUGACCACGUUAGUUGUCAUGUUGGACAUAUCCAACUCAUUUUUCAUUUCUUUAAAUGUCACUUGGAAUUGUCAUGUCAUUUUGGUCUUACCACAUAACAUUUAUAUGAAAAUGGAAAGAUAUUUGGACUCAUAAACACCUAAUCCGACCCUUAAAUAAACCUCCUUUUAAAUAAAUUAUCCGGCUAAUUUUCAACAAUUUUGUUUAAUUUUUAUUUUUUCAAUACAUUCAAAAAAUGAGUAAUUGUUAAUUAAAAAAAUAGGAAAAUAUGAAAAAAGUAUAAGAUUAACGCCAAAAAUUCAUAAAUAAUUAUAGUAACCUAAAUUCAAUUUAGACACUUUUUUUAAAAAAAUCAUUUUUUUCGAUAAAUCCCGAAAUGAGUAAUUGAUUAAUAAAAAGUAUGAAAAGAUAUAAAAUUAACGCCAAAAAUUAAAAAAUAAAUACCGUAACCCAAAAUUCAACAAUUUCAACAUUUUUUUAAUUUUUAAUUUUUUCGACAAAUCCCAAAAAUGAGUUUAUUAACAAAAAAAUAUAAAAAUUACACGAAAAAAUCAGAAAUAAAAAAUAGGAAAAUAUGAAAAAAAAUAUAAAAUAAAAAAAAUGGUUGAAAUUAUUGAAUUUAAGUUUACUAUAUUUAAUUGUGAAUUUUGACGUAUAUUUUUUAUUUUGUUUUCAUAUUUUUCCCUUUUUAUUAAAAAAUUACUCAUUUUCGGGAUUUGCCGAAAAAUAUAAAAAAUUUAAAAAAAUUGUAGAUUGAAAUGUUACUAUAUUUAUUUGUGAACUUUUGGCGUUAAUUUAUAUUUUUUUCCAUACUUUUGAUAAUUUUUAUUAAUUAAUUACUCAUUUUCGAGAUUUAUCAAAAAAUAAAAAAUUUAAAAAAAAUUGAAAUGUUAGAUUUAAUGUUACUAUAUUUAUUUGUGAAUUUUUGGCAUUAAUUUUAUAUUUUUCAUAUUUUUUCUAUUUUUUAUUAAUCAAUUACUCAUUUUCGGGAUUUACCGCAAUAAUAAAAAUUAAACAAAAUAGUUAAAAUUGGUUCAGAUAGUGAAUUUAAAAGGAGUUGAUUUAUGGGUCGGAUUAGGUGUUUAUGAGUCCGAAUAUCUUUCCAUUUUCAUAUAAAUGUUAUGUGGUAAGGUCAAAAUGACAUGACAAUUCCAUGUGGCACUUAAAGAAAUGAAAAAUGAGUUGGAUGUGUUCAACAUGACAACUAACGCCCAUAAGGACAUAUUUGGACCAAAAGUUGGACGGCGAGGGCAUGAGUGAACCAAACUUUAAAAGGAGGAUAUAUCUAGACCUUUUCAAAUUGUUUAGGAGCAUAUUUGACCCUUUUCCCUAGAAUUUAAUAUAGAAUAUCAAAAUAUGAAUUCUUGAAAUUGAGUAUAAUAAUUAUUUUCUUUACAAUGAAUAUAUGUACUAUAUGUGUAUAUGUUCAAUAUAAUCGAAGAAAAUUUUGCAGAAAAAUAAACAACAGAGUUUAAAAUAUGUACUCAAAAACAAUAAUUAAUAUCAUAAGUAUAAAUUAAUGAGGAAAAAAAAACAUACCGCGAUAUGAAAAAAUAGAAUGAAAAAAAUUGAGAAAAAACAGUGUUGUCAGUCAGCGGCAGAUCUAUCAAGGCCCGUGAGGGUGCCACACAACCCACGAACUUCGAAGGAAACUCUAUUUAUAUUUAUAUACAACAUAUGUAUAAAUAAUAAUAGUGCCACUUAGAGAACAAAAGUAUUCUUUGGUGUAGUGGUAGACUAUCAAGUUUACAAGCCAUAGUCCAAGGGAUCAACCCUAUUGACAGCGCUUUUUUGUUUUAUAUUUUUCUUUUUAACCACAUGCAGUGUUUCUUUUUUAAACUACAAGGCACAUUCUCUUUUGAUUUUGAUUUUUUUUAUUAACUUCUUAUUAAGUAUUAAUCAAUAAUUAUUUUUAACUAAUUUAAUUUAACUUUUUGAUUUUUCUUUUAUAUGAUUAAAUAUAAUAAGAAAAUUCUAUUCACCGUUGAAUUCUCCUUUUAACUUUGGAACAACAAAAGUUGUCGUUAAUUAAAGCUUCAGGCUUUCAUCCGUCGCUCAAUCCUGCUCUCCUGUCCAGCCACAAGACGAAUAAUUCUAUCUGAAUCUAAUAUUGAUUUUAUCGAUGAGUCUACUAAGCAUUAGAGACAAUUUAAAAUUUGAAGAUUUUGAUGCACCAAUACUAUUUUAAUUGAGAUAGUUAACAAAAUUUUUACUACAAUUAACGAAUAAUGUAGUACUUGAUUGGUUACUAAUGGCUCGAAUAUGAUUUAUAAGCUAAACUUAAAAUAAAAAAUAAUGAAAUACGAUUGAACUGUAUUCUCGCGAGUGGUUCCUCUGGCUUGUAAACCAACUAAACAAGGGCACCUCUACGCUUCUUAUGGGUGCACUGUUGAUUAUAUCCUACUUUAUGUCAGUAUCUCACGAUAGAUAUACAUAUAUACAUGUAAUUUUUUUGAAGUUAACGGAUGCACGUGCACCCCUAUCAAAUCAUGUGGGUUCGGCUCUGGUUGGCACCCAGUGGCUAUAAUUCCUAAAUUCGCCUCUGCUGUCAGUAAGUCAUUCAACAGUAGCAAAGUACAUAAAUAUUUAAUUUUGCAGAAAUAAAAGAAAAAGAUCAUAAUUGUUUUUUGUUUUAAAAUGAGGGUGUGUUUAGUAUGAAGGAAAACAUUUUUCGAAAAAUAUUUUCCAAUUUUCUCAUAUUUGGUUGGGUCAAAUAUUUUCCAAAUCAAAUCAUUUUCCUCAAAUUUAUGGAAAAUGACCUCCAUUCCAAACUUAAGGAAAACAUUUUCCAAAACUCUUUUCUAACCUCCCCCUACCCACGCCAUUCUACCAGUCCCCAACCCACCCCCUUCCAGCCCUCUACCCACCCACCCAUACCCCUAAAAAGUUUAAGUUUAGUUUUUUAAAAAUAUUUUUAACAUCACAAUUUCAUUUUUUUUUUCACCCCUACCCUCGACCCCCUACCACCCCCAUCCCCAAAAAAUAAUUUAAGUUUGUUUUUAAAAAAAUAUUUGUAACUUCAAAAAUUCAUUUUUUUACCCCUACCCUCGACUUACCCUCUCCCUACCAGCCCCCCCCCCCCCAAAAAAAAAUAAGUUUGUUUUUAAAAAAUAUUUUAAACUUCAAAAAAAAAAAUUCACUCCUACCCUCGACCCCGCACCCCACUCCACUAGCCCCCUACAAGCCCACCCCCACCACGAAAAAAAUUUUAAGUUUGUUUUUUUUAAAAAAUAAAUUCAACUUCGAAAAUUAUUUCCUACUCUAGUAAAAAAUAAAAGACAUUUCUCAAAAGUAUUUUUCAUUAAAAAACAAGCACUAAAAUAUUUUUCCAGAAAAUAUUAUCUACUCACCUACCAAAUAUGAGAAAAUCAGUAAAUUAUCUACUUGUUUUCCAGGAAAAUAUUUUCCAAGGAAUUUCCGUCAUACCAAACACACCCAAGAGUAUAUUCCUCUAUUUAUAGACAACAAAGGGUAGUGUCAACAAAUUUUUAUUGUGCCUUAUUAGAAAGGAUACAACUAUUUGAAAAAAUUGCAACCCUUCGGAAAGUUUACAACGUUUCAUAAAAGUCGCAACUCUUCAUAAAAGUCGCAACUCUUCAUUAAAGUCACAACUUAUUAUAAAAGUCACAACUUUUCAUAAAAGUCACAACUUUUGAUAAAAGUCGCAACUUUUCAUAAAAGACAGAUUUUUUCUUCAAAGAGGAAGGCUCGUUUUAGAAAUAAAUAAAUUUAAAAGAAAAUUAUUGCUUGUGGCGGCGCUACAUAGGUGGUCCUAGGAUUCUCUUUUAUAUAAAUAUAUGAAUUUUUUUAUUAACGUGGUGUUCGGACCAACUUUCACACUUUGAUCUGCUGAAAUUUGAACCUAAAACCAAAUGGUUCUCAUUUCUCAGUCACUUCAUGGACCAUUAGGUCACACUGUUAGGUGCCCAGAUAUAUUCAUGUCCAAACAUCCCUUGGCCAAUUUCCAUAUACCAUUAUUCAACCUUGUAUUAUUAGUUUAUUCUAAUUUCACAUUUUUAAUGUUCAAACGCCCACUUAUAUUCUGCCUGUUUAUAUCAAAAAAUUCCAACAGAUUUGAAUUCAUGGCAUACACUUGAUAUUUUCUCAAAAGUAAAUACUUAAUAGGGAUAACGCACAAGUACCUCCUCAAACUAUGACCGAAAUCGCAGAGUCACACUUAUACUAUACUAAGGUCCUAUUACCUCCUAAACUUAUUUUAUAAAUAAUUUUCUACCCAUUUUCGACCUACGUAGCACUAUCUUUUUGGCCCAGCGUGACAUUUUUUUCUCAAACUGAAAUUAAAAUUUAAACUAUUUUCUUUUAAAAAAAAAUAAUUUGAAGUUUUGAUUUUUUUGGUUGGGGUGAGGUUUAUCAGUUCUUGCAAAAGGCUUAGAAUUAUCAAAGGAUCUGAAGCUAAAGGUUUAGCAAGUCUAUAAAAACAUGGACAUAUAUAUAUAUACACACAUAUAUACAAAUCUGAUAGGAAUGAACAAGUUUGAACAAGUUUCAGUUUUGUAAACUAUCUUGAUUUUCGAUUAAUUACACGGGAUAUAUAGAUCUAGAUCUCAUGUACAAAUAGUUUAUCUUUCUUUUUUUUGAAGAAUUUUCUUGUGUAUUAUGUAUGAGUAUAAAUAUACGGGAAGAAAUACAAAAUUUUAGCACAAUAUGAAGUGUCUAAUCAAUCUUGAUAUUUAAGCACCCAAAUUCAAUAUUUCGCUUUGAUAGGUUCAUAAUCAAGAAUCAAAAUAAUAAUAGAGAUUAAAAUAAACUUCAUUGACUUUUCAAGUCUUUUUCAUCAAUUUUGUAAAUAUGUAUAUUCAUAUUACAAGUCGACUUAGACUUGUGGAGAUUGUUAAUUAGCUUGUGAAUGAAGAUGAUGUGUGUUGUGUCCAUGUAGAUCAUGGAUUUGAGAAGAUCUAAUAUUUUUUUGGUAGUAAAACUUAACUAGUGAACUUAGCCGCGCUUCGCACGAUCAUAAAUAACUCGCUUAAUUUGUCAAAAAAAAGAAUUAAAAUAGUAUUGAUAAAAGUUUUGUGAAGGUUCUUUGUUGUGUUUAAUUGAAAUAUAUCAUAUUUGAAAUCUUAAUCAAGUUUAAAUACUAUUUAAGUUUUUGUAUCCGUUUUAAUUUUAAAUCGCUUAAGCUAAAAGUUCACAUUCAAUGAUCUCAGCCUAUAAUUUUAUUGGAUAUGUGUAGCCCAUGCUUUUAUAAUUUUAUACAACUUUUUUAAAAUCUAUCUUUUAUUUUUAGUAUGUUUUUUGUUUUGUUUGUAUCUUUCUCGCAAAAUUGAAGAAUUUAAACCCAAAUAAACUUGUAAAUUUUGAAAGCUCAAAACAUCAAAAUGUCAUUAUCCUCCUUGUUCAUCAAAUCAAAAUAAUUUUUAAAUAUUUAUUGUGGUUCAAGAAAAUCAAUUAUAUUUUUAUAAAAUUACUCUUUUUCCUCCAAACAUCGUAGUCUCUUACUAUUUUCUUUUUAAUGUUUAUAUUCUUCAAAAGUUGUUAUCCUUUCGUCGAUAAUGAUGAAUCAACUCUCUUUUCAUCUUUCACAAGUCAUAAACUAAUUUUUACUACAAUGUAAUAUACUUAUAAAUUUAUAUAUAAAAAAAUAUAUUGAGAGACAUAGAACCUCAAUUACACAAAAAAUGUAAAGUAUUUGGAGAAAUUAAUUAUUUGAAACAAUCUCUUAAAUGCAUAUAACAAAUUUGAGAAAUUCUUUUUAAACAAACUUUAUCAAAAUCCCAUUGCAAGAAAGUUGAGUCUUUUUUAUACCUUUUUUUUUUUUUUUGAAAAAAAAAGCUUAUCUUGUAGCAUAUGCAUACAAAUUAUAUUAUUUAUUUUGAGAUAAAAAAAAUCAAAUUUUAUUGACUUGUCACGUGCAUUUAAAGCAUGAAGCUAAUCAUACUUUAUCAAUUUCCUUUUAUUUUUCAAGGGAAAAGGGUCUGAUUUACCCCUCAAUUUUGUCAUUUGGAGCUGAUAUACCCCUCGUUAUAAAAGUGGUUUAUAUAUGCCCUUACCGUUAUUCAAACGGCUCACAUAUACCCCUGCCGUUACAAAAUGGCUCACAUAUACCCUUCAUUUAACGAAAGUUAAAAAAUUAGUUUUAAAUUUAUAUUUAUUACUUGUAAUUUUUUUUAAAAAAUUAUUUAGGGGUAUAUAUGAUUCUUCUAUCAAAGUUCAAGGUAUAUUUUAAUUUUUUUUCAUACAUAAAUUAUUUUUUGACUUCGCUUAUUAUAAUUAUUUGAGUUUCUUAUUCUUAUUUUGUUUUUUUCUUUCAUUACUUAGUUUAAAGAAAAAAAUUUAAACAAUUUUUUUGUGUAUUGUAAUUUAAUUUCGUAUUCGAAGAAAAAAUUUGGUCUACAAUAAGUUUUACAAGAAUAUUAGUGAAACAUAAACAAAUUUGAUUAUCAAAAUUAUAAUUAUAAAUUAGUCAUUGAAACAAAAAAAAUAAAAAAAAAUAUGUUUUACGAGGAUUAAAUUUACUCAUAUUAGAUUAUAUAUUUUAUAAAAUAAAAAUAAAAAUUUAGAUUAAAAUUAUUUUUUUCAUUUCCGUUAGAGGAAAAGGGUAUAUGUGAGCUAUUUGUUUACAAGUAGGGGUAUAUAUGAGUCACUUUCAUAACAAGGGGUAUAUCAGCUCUAAAUAACAAAGUUGAGAGGUAUAUCAAACAUUUUUCCCUUUUUUCAAUUUGUAAAUUAAAUAUGAAUUUAGUAUGUCAUGAUUAUUUCUAUUAAAUUAAGAUAUUAUCUUGACAAACAAAAUGUGAGAUUACUAUUUUUGAAUUAAUAUUAUAACCAUAAAUUUUAUAACAUUUUGAAAGAGUAGAGAAUAGUAACAAAAUUUGCAUAUGUUAAUAAUGACAGUGUGUUCAUCAAACUUGAACUUAAAUCUCAAAUAUUGUCAUUUGUUCAUUUUAUCUUUCACCGUAAACAAUAAAAAUAAUUCACAUAAAAAAUGAAGAAUAAAAAGAAUGAAAAAAUCACCAACAAUAAUGAAGAAAAUAACACAGACAAGAAAAUAGAAGGAAAAACACUAUAAAUAAGAGACAUCAACAAAACUAAAAUAAAACAAAUAAUCUUAUCUAUUUUGUUUAAAUUUUGAAUUUGAAUUCUCACAAACAACAUAGGUAUAUGCUCAUCCUAUCUUUCAUACAAUAAACCAAAAAAAACUAAUCACAUAUAAUAUAACAUUAUAAAAUUAGGCAUAACAAAGUGAUGUACUUAAGUGUAAAUAUAAUCAAGAAAAAAAUAAUUUCUUACCAUUGAUGAGGAUGAUAUACUUUAGUAUUUAUAGUAAUCAGUAAAUUUGUAACUUAAUUAAAUAAUAUGAAUUAAAAAAAUAAUAUAGUAAUAAAUAAAAUUGUAACUUAUAUUGAUAUUAAUUGUUUUAAUUAUAAUAUAAUAAUAUUUUUAAGAAGGAAUAAAGAAAGGUUUAGGAAAAGGUGAUAAAUGGUAAUGGUAGUGGGCUUAGUUUUUAAGUAACUGUUGGGCUGCAAGAUUAAUUACUCUUAUUUACUGUGAUAUUUUAACUCAUUUAGACAUUUAUACAUUUUUAAGGGGGAAAAAGUCAGAAUUUUUUUUUUUAAAAAAAGAAAAAACAUAUAACUGCAAAUGCUGAUCAUUGGAGGGUGCCACAUCAAUAAUUUUAGAUUUAGCUUUAUAUUAUUAUAUAGAUUUCGCUCCCUUUAUUGAAAACGUAAAAUGUUAAAUAUUUUUUUAUUCUUAAUAAAGAUUUUUAAAUUUGAACCUUAAUAUAUUAAAUCAUCUUUAUUAGAAAAAACUUACUUCCAAUUAUAAAAUCUCAAACACACAAAAAAUGAUAAUUGAAUGUUAAUAUAUUUAUCAAACAUCGAGCGAGAAAUGAAAAAAGAAGAAGGGAAGUAUAGGUGCAUUACUUAGAAAACGACCAUUCACUAAUGCUACAACCCCACAAUGUGUAAAUUGAUUUGAACUAUUGCUUUCAACUUCACUUUUUUAGUUUUUUUUUUCUUUACAAGAAUAACAAUUAAAUCAAAUGAUUUGGUUUGAAAACAACACCAAUUUUUUGAAAAGUAUUCAGAAAAUUAUUUUUUCAACAUUUAAACAAAAUUUUAACUACUUUUUACUAUAUUCCAAAACGUCUCGUUAAAAAAGGAAUAUAAAAUCUCAAUCAGGUUAAUUAAUACAAUAAGAUUUUUGUAUUUUUAGCUAUAGUCAUAGAUGAAUUUAAAAUCAUUUUAAAAAAUUAAGUUAUGAAAAAUUAUUCUAUAUAUAUAUUAAAAAAGUUCUUACUAGAAUUAUUGAAAACUUUUAAGACCGUAAAUCGUAAUCAAUCAUCUAACUAGCUUUUAUCCGUAAUAUUCGAAUAAUUUUCUUCGCUUUUCCAAGAGGAAUAUAUGUUGUUUUAUGUUAAAAAAACUUCUACAUAAGAUUAUUAUUAUUUAGGGUUAAUUAUAUAUAGUGUGUGCAUUAACAAUGUCACAAACUCUCAAUAUUACAAAAAAAAAUUAGAAAUAUAAAUCCACGCAAUUGUAUAAAAAGGGGUUAAUCAAUAUCCUAAAAUAAUAAUAAUGUAAUAGCAUUAACGUAUGUUAAUAUGUUAUAUUACGAAAUUCAAAAAUAUGUGAACUUUAAAUAAUAUUGUCAUCAUUGUAUGAAAGAUUCACAAUUUAUAUCACUUUUGUAUAAUUUAUUUUUUUUAAAAAAAAUUGAUUGAAUUAACCCUCUAAUAGUAAUAAUAAUAACAAUAAUUAUACAAAUUAGUAUUUUAAUUAUGUCUAUCUUAAAUCAUUUCAAAUUAUAAUGUGUAAUUGAUUACUUUUUAAAUCAUUAGAUUCCCUAAAUUUCUAAAGCCAAAAUCCAUUACUUUUCGUCUCGUUAUAUUUAUCGGACACGUGUCUAUUCAUAUACAAUGACAUAAUUGUCCCCACAUAAAAAAAGUAACCCAAACACUUGACUCAUCUUAACCAUGGUUUCAUUUUAACCCAACACAUUUCCACCUCUUUUUGUUUUUUAUAAUAUAAAAAAUCGUUUGAUAGCAGAAAUAUAAGUAUUAAAUUUUACAUAAGUAAUACCGUAUUUAAUAGUUGAUUGAAAAAAAAGAGCUAUUCAUAAGAAAGUUUUAAUCUUUUCAUCUGGGGUUUAAUACCUGUAUUUGCUUGUAAUUGAGGAAAUGGUAGGUUUUGUAGAGCAUUAUUGCUUGAGUUCUUUAGUAUUUACUGGUGAAAAAGAGUUCAAAUCUUUGCACUGUUGUCUAAGUACUUUAGCCGUUGCCGGUGACUUCAUUAAACUGAUUUGAUAGAACAGAAGGUUUUGUGGAACAUUGGUGUCUGAGUACUUCAGCCCUUACUGGUUGGGAUGAGUUUUAAUCUAUGCAUCUGAGGAACUUUUCUUGCUUGUAAUUGAAGCAGUGGGUUUUGUGGAGCAUUAUUGUGUGAGUACUUUAGUCUUUCUGGUGAGAAAAGUUCUAAUCUUUGCAUCUGGGGUUUGAAUGUUUCUUGUUAGUAAUUGAGGGUUUGAGGAAGUAGUAGGUUCUGUGAAGCAUUCUCGUCUGAGUACUUUAGCCCUCCCACAUUGUGUGAACAAUCUCUUCUCAUCGAGCAUGCGUUUCCCCAUCAGCUGAAGCAACACUGUUAAUCUUUAUCUCUGGUUGGUCGCUGAUAUUAAAGUUGGGGUUGUUAUAACCAAAAAAUCAGGGUACAUUUGAAAAUAAAAUAUAAUUCAACAUUCGAAAGCGGGUUAUAAGUUGUUUUCCAAAUUUGAUUUACAACUUCGAACUUUUCGUACACAAACACUGGUUUUCGAAUAAAGUGGACAUUAUAUCAGAAAAAAAGUAAAUAAUAUUUAUGGGUCCUUAAUUAAGUCUUUCAGUUCAUUCCUCUGUUUUGCUUGAUUGAUGGUAUUUCACAGUAGUUGGUGGCCAUAGAGAAGAAAUGCCUUAGUACUUUGAAUCGCUUACUGGGUAAAGAAGCAAAAGCAUAUAGUGUAUGACUUGGCUACAACAAACGAAAGGGAUGUAAGAGGGCACAAUUUCGUCCACCUUUAGAAACUAAGCAUAAACUGAAUCUAAUUAAAUUUUUGUUUUGAUAUGUGCACUUUACUAGCAAUGUUGCACAGAAAGUGUGAACUACUGGUUCGGUGUUAUAAGUAGUUCAAUGAUUUGAAUUAUUGAAAGGGUUGAAUAUCUUGUAACAUGGUUAUCAAAUUAAUGUUGCAUUUUUAUCUCUUUCCAUUUGAUUUAUCACAACUCCUCUUAUAUUUGGACCUUCUUUUGCUGCUAUUCUUGUUUAGCGCUGGGAAUAAAAACUAUAGAAGCAAUGUAACUCGUUUUUUGCUGCAGGAACCUGAGAGAACUGGAACUGGGAGAAAGUGAAGCAGAAGACCUGAGUGGCCAUUGGCUUAGUCAUUUUUCUGAUAGUUGUACAUCGCUUGUGUCACUUAACAUUGCUUGUUUGGCUUCUGAGGUCAGCUUCUCAGCUUUGGAGCGUCUAGUUGCUCGCUCUUCUCAUUUUAGGACUCUUCGGCUCAAUCGUGCUGUUCCCAUUGAGAAACUUCCAAAGCUACUUCGUCAUGCUUCGAAGUUGGUUGAAUUUGGUACAUGAUCCUACUCUGCUGACAUGCAGGCUGAUGUUUCUGAAGUUUUCGUAAAUGUAUCUCAAGCAUUUUCAGGCUGUAAUCAACUUAAAGGCUUGAGUGGGUUUUGGGAUGCUGUGCCAGCCUACUUUCCAACUAUUUAUCCAGUCUACUCCAAACUCACCUCUUUGAAUUUAAGCUAUGCUACCAUUCAAAUAGCUGAUCUUUGCAAGCUCAUUGGCAAUUGUUUCAAUUUGCAGCGGUUGUGGGUAGGUUCUAGCUUGUGUUUUACUUUUGUAUACUUAUCGAGUGUUUUCAAUAGUCAUGGCUCAAUACAUUAACUGUGUUUGUGAUAAAAUAGAUAAAUUGAUUGAUAGUUGUAAACACACAAAUUUCCAAGAGAAGAACAAUAAUCCUAACUUAGUAAUUGUCUUGCUAAUUUUGAUAAUGCCAGGGAUAAAUAAACAACGUAAUGAACUUCAGUGUUUACUUAGAUAACAUAGCUAAACAAUUAAUUUCGAGUGAACUCUUUGAAUAAUUUGCUGGUCUGUCAUACAAAGAAUAAGUUAAUGUUGAAUCCUAGUGUUGCACGAAUCCUACACUUUGACAAUUCAUGUAUAUCUUUCCGGGUUAGACGCUUCCAUUAGUUUUUAGGCUUUUCUUGUCCAGUGGAUCUGCUGCAUAAUUAGUUAUCCAGCUUACGCUUUAAGGCACUUGGAAUGGAUGUGAUUGCAGGUUCUAGACUACAUUGAAGAUAGCGGUCUUGAGGAGAUUGCCAACACUUGUAAGGAACUUCAAGAGCUUAGGGUGUUUCCUUUUGAUCCAUUUGCUCCAGGACCUAAUGUAUCCUUGACAGAGCAAGGCCUUGUAGCUGUCUCAAUGGGCUGCCCUAAGCUUUAGUCAGUUUUAUACUUCUGCCGCCAAAUGACAAAUGACGCCUUAGUUACUAUUGCAAGGAACCGUCCUAACAUGAUCCGAUUUCGUUUGUGUAUUAUCGAGCCUCAAACUCCUGACUACUUAAUCCUUGAACCACUUGAUGCUGGUUUUGGGGUCAUUGUGUAACACUGCAAAAAAUUGCAGCGACUUUCUCUUUCUGGCCUCCUUACAGAUCGUGUGUUUGAGUAAAUCGGGGUCCAUGCUAAGAAGUUAGAUAUGCUUUCCUUAGCUUUUGCAGGAGAUAGUGAUCUAGGCCUCCUAUAUGUUCUCUCUGGUUGUGAGAGCCUCCGUAAGUUGGAGAUUAGAGACUGCCCUUUUGGCGAUGAGGCUCUGUUGGCUAAUGCUGCAAAGCUGGAGAGUGGAGACCAUGCGAUCCCUUUGGAUGUCUAAUUGUUCAGUAAGUUUUAAAGCAUGUAAGCUGCUAGCCCAGAAGUUGCCAGGCUUAAUGUUGAAGUUAUAAACGAGAGGGGUCAUCCGGAUACGAGACCAGAAAGUUGCUCUAUUGAGAAACUUUAUAUACACAAGACAGUGUCAGGAAGGAGGUUCGACACUCCUGGUUUUGUUUGGACUAGGCUCCGGGCACGUGUAUUCCAAAUAAAAAUCAAUAAAAAAAAUAAAUGAAAACGUAUAUAAUAAACUAUUAGGAGAAUUAUGAUGUUUUUUUCGAGUGUUCUCUCGAUAUUUUCGAUCUACUGCACAUUAGAUAAGUCUCCAAAGCUUACCCAUUUAUAAGCAAUUAAAUGUACAGACAGUCAUCAACAAGUAAAAAUUCUAAGAAAGACACAUCAAGUUAAAGAAUUAAAAAGGGAAAAUGCGACGUUAUUUAAAGUCAUCUUGUAUCCUUAAUGUGUGUCGUUACAAAUGUAACUACUUCCUUAAAAACUUUCAGAUUUACUCAGACUUACAUUUACAGGCUUACAACUACUAUCCAUCACUGUUAGAGAAGACUUGGAGUCGCUACAUUUAUUGAAGAAAAUGUGAUAUAUUUUGCUAGCAAACAGCUGCAAUUUCAAUUUAUUAUUAAUAGUUUAAAAGUUUAAACAUGGUUUCUUUUCUGUGGGAAGCUUGCAUAGAGAGUUUUAAAGAGAGUUGAUCAUCAUUCAGUAUCAAACCAUAUUGUACAACAACAUUCAAUUUUUGAUAUGUGUGGUUAUACCUUUCAAGCUAUUUAUUUUACCUAUUAAAAAAAUUAGAAAGUUAGCAAAUCAAACGGAAAAAUCUAGACUUAAUAAGAUUGUACCUGAAAAUUAGAAGACAUUUUUGUACCCACUUAACAAUGGAAGCUUGUGUUGAAUGACUAAUAUUGAGUAUGUUUAUGUAGUGUAGUCUUGGAGAUUUGUUGAUAAAAACUCUUUGAUAUUCCUCAAUUACUUAAUUUGAUCCUUUUCAACUUCUCAUAAUUAGCAAAAUACGUUUCAACUUCUAUAUUAAUUGAAACUUUAUUCGUGUUCAUCCUAUUUGGUUGUUUCACACAUAGUAAUUGAAUAGACUGUUGAACUUCUUAUUUUGUUCCUUUAUUAUGUAAUUCAAUAUUACUAUUUAAUUAGAUAUUUAAUUUAUAUUUGGGAAAAGUAUUUUAUUACUUUUUAAUUUAGUAUAGGGGCAAAGUAAUAAUUCAACUUUACACUUUAGAGCUUCAUGCUUAUAAUAAUAUAUGAUUAUUGAUGAAGAUGCAACAUCGACUCCAUAUAGCAAUGGGGAUUGCUCUUUGGCUUCUUCUUAGGAAGACUUCAGGUAUUAGUUCUAUGCUGAUCUUUCACCUGCAUUUACUUGCUUGAGCCUUGUGUAGUUGCAGUGCUGGUUAUGGUGGCAGUGAAGCGCAUGUGCCAUUGAUUUGACCCUUUGUUGAGUGACUUUGCAACAAUUAAUUACAAAUAAUGAGUUUAAACUCUUGUUGUUGUGCUAUAUCACUAAGGAUAACUAUUGUAUUUUCAACUCUUAUUGUUUUUUCUGUUGAAAUGAUGCUGUCAAUGUACUUGUUGUCCUGUAUUGUUGUAAUUCUCCUUGAAGAUAAAUGGGAACCUUUCAUUCAUUUGAGUGCUGAAAUCCGAUUUAAUUUGUUGAACGUUUAGAAGAAGGUAUUUUAUUGUUCUAGUACGAGUCAGCCUGAUAAACAAACACUUACAUAGGUAUGAUGACUGUUCAUUUUCUCAAUUUUAUACCUACUCGUGCAAAUCCAAAGUUAAAAGGUCAUGUUUAUGUAUUAUGCCAAAUCUAUACUCACAUGUGUGCUUGCGAUAAAAGAAAUAGACAAAUCAACAAAUGAUACGUGCAUUUAUAAAAAUUAUAAUUUUUGUUGAAGAAACUUUGAGAAAUCCACAAAAAUAUUUCAUAACUGCAACAAAGUUUUCUUAAUCAUAUACAAUGUACCCUGCAAAGUACAAUCUACUUUUCAACCAUAAUGCUACUUAAAUAAGGGGAUAUUCUUCUGGCCAAGGAUCUGAAGCUCGCUCCCUCCUCUCAUUUCUUCAGCGUAUUCCUUAAUCUUGAGAGCAGAAUCUUCAAGUUGAGGACUCUUUACAAUUUUGAUAAAUUUCAAUGAAUAAAUAUCUCCAAAACUAGGUGGAAUCUCCUCAAACUUACCACAUUCCUGCAGUUUUAAUUUCUCAAGAUUGGGGAAGGAUUCCUCUCCAACCUCCCACUUGGAAAGAGUCGGUAGACGCAAGUUCAAAAAUUUGAGAUUCUCAAAGGUGUCUUCCUCCCCCAUGUUCCAUUCUUCUCCAUGGAUGAUUGCAUCACAAAGGGACAACCCUUCAAGGUUGGGCAGUCUAGCUAUUGUUGACAGUGAAUCGGAUGUCAGAGGAAAGUCACGCCAUGACAGUUCUUUCAAAUUUGAAGGGAAGUGGAAAUCCCACGGCCGAUUUGUCGCUACAGAGGACCCAAUGUGGUUUGUGUUUGAACUUUUAAAACCUACACUGAGUAUUUCUAGUUCAGUUAGGCAAUCCAAUUUCGGGAACCAAUAUUGCUCUGUUGAAUAAUCCCAUGACUCCUUGAGAACAAAUUCAAGCACUUUAAGAUUGGGAAACCUUUUGAAAAUAUUCUUUGUAUCUUUCGAAUAGGAAAUCAACAGUUCCCUUAGUAUUCUCAAGUUCUCUAACUUUGUGUCCUCUGCUAUCAAUAUUGAUUCAUCUGCAUCCAUAUCAAAGAAAGAACAAGCAUCCGCGGACAGCACUCGUAGCUUUACAAGAUCCAAAAUUCUUGGUAACAGUAUCAAGGUUGAUCCUUUGUUAGACACAAACAGACUUUCUAGAUUCCAGAGGUUUGAGAAAGACAAAGGCAGAUAUUUAACUUGUGUCCGAAUUCUUAAGUACCUCAAAUGAUUCAACAUGCAUAUUUCAUUCAGCAAAGAAUCAUUCACCAUGAUUAAAGAGGAUUCCAGGUCCAACACUCUAAGAAGCCUCAAGUGUCUUAGGUGAAAUGUAUCAAAAAGACUGUCAUCAUAAUCAAUGGUAAUUUUACGUGGCAAUAAAUCUGAUGGAGCACUUGAUCUUAUCCGAUCAAACAACUUUUCCUUUCUUGCUUUUAUCAAACAAAAGUCAUGCACAAGAUCAUGAACUUGGCAACUCGGUUCAUCACCUAUCUCAUUCAAAAGAAUUACCAAGCUACUGGAAAUUAAAUCAUCCAUACAAAUCUUCAGCACUUCUUCCAUACUCUUCAUCUCCGUCUUCCCCACAAAUCCUUCAGCACCCAAAAAAAACAUUCAACAAAUAGAUUGUCAAUGGAGUGUCCUUCGGCAAACUUACAAAGUGAAGCAAGCAUGGCUUGAGGUGAUGUGGUAAAUGGUCAUAACUUAAUUCUAUAACUUUCAUCACUUCCACUUCACUGUUCAAAAUAAAAGAACUCAAACUAUUUUGAACUUCAAGCCACACACUCUUUUUCUUUUCCCUCCCAGCAAUGACUCCAGCAAUCAGAUCAGCCACCAAAGGAAGCCCUUUACAAUUUUUGGCUAUUUCUUUACCGACAUCUAAUAGUUCAUCAGGGCAACUCUCGUUCCCAAAUGCCCUUUUCUCUAAUAGUUCCCAACUUUCAUCUGGUCUUAGCAAUCGAAGGUCAAGAGGAUCAGUGUUCAGCUUUCCAUGCAAAGGCACUUCCUUUUCUCGAGUUGUCAAAAUAAUCCUACUUCCUUUCUUAGCUUCAAGAAAAGGUCUUGUUAACUCAUCCCAUGUAGUAGUAUCCCACACGUCAUCUAAGACAAUAAGAUACCUCUUUCCAUACAGUUUUUUCCGUAGCUUAUCAGGAACAUCAAUAUUCUCACUCAAUUUUGAAUCUGAGUCACUAACUUGAUUGACAAUUUUAUUCAACAACUUCUUCUCAUCAUAUCCUUGGUCGACCGUGCACCAUGCACGAAGGUUGAAAUGGCUAGAAACUGACUUAUCACUGUAUACUUUGUAUGCCAAAGUAGUUUUACCUGAACCCGGCAUACCAGUGAUCGAAAUGACAUCUAGAUCUGCCGGUCCACUGGUGAGCUUUCUAAGUAUCAAGUUUGUCUCCUCCUCAAAACCUACAAUUAUUUUAUCAGUUGUCAAUGACUUUCUCUCAACUGGUUUCUUGGGAGAGUUCACAACGAUUAGACCUCUGUCCUUGGGAAUGUUCUCAUCUAAAGCAGAGAUCUCUUCUUUGAUAAGUUUGAUCUUCUUUAUGGUAAUGGGAAGUGAGAAAAUAAGAUGUAAGAGACCAUUAUCUCGAACAAUAAUUGAAUCUAUGACAUCUUUUGCCUCAUAAGCCACAUCUAGAACACGUGCCCAGAUAUCUUUAUACAAUCCUUGCUCAGCAUCCACAAAGAAUGAUCUUAUGAAUUCCAGGUCUUGUCUCACCAACUCGAUUUCUUCCUUUAUCAAAGAAAUUGAAUAAGCAUUAGAUUCUAGCAAAUCAUUUAAGUGCAUGUGUAGAAGAUGCAUGAAGAGUGGUCCAUCACUCAUGGGGGAGCAACAUUGAGAUGAAUCCGGGGCUUUCAGAUAAACAUGUUUGAGAUCUUUCUUGAGGAGUUCAAUAUUUUCCAGCAAGUCUAGGGUUACACAAUUUGUUUGGUUAUUACCCUCUUUAUUCCUUAAUUUCUCUUCCAAGUCACAUACAAGAGUUGAUACCUCCCUGGUAAGUACUUCAACAUGAGCCAAGAGAUCAAAAAGUUUGUCAUGAUGAAUAAAGUCCUUGGGCAUAUUCAGAAAGAAUAAGUAAUAGGAAUUCCAUCAUGACAUGAAUGUUUAGAGCCCCUGAAGUGCUAGGGGGAAUAACAGUUAUCAUAUGCUCUUGUAGUUGAAUGAUAUAUUCUCUGAGAAUAUCCGGUGAGGGUUCUAGGAGCUUCUUAAUGAAGCGUCCAACUUCUGCUGAAGUUGAAGCUUUCAAAUUUGUAUAACAUAUGUGCAUAACCUCCAGUUCAGUUGGAACAAUCUUCAAGAGUAGCUUGAAGAGUCGAGAGUCUCUAUCAUUCUGAUCAUCCUCAUCUAGCUCGGAGAGCCGAGAGUCUUCAUCAGUCUGAUCCUCCCAAAGGAAGUGUCCUACUCUUUCAGCCAUCAGUUGAAACAGAGGUAAGACAUUCUCAACCGUCUCAUGCUUAAUGCAACCAUUCACUAUCAACCCAUGGAAGUCUCUUAUGUUGCCACAUACAUUCUGAAGAACUUCAUAUUGAGUCACUUCAGGAAAUAUCUUUUCAGCGUGAUGCUUGGAUAGAUGAAACAGAUUCAAGAGGAGGAAGUCCAAUUGCUCAUCCAUCAUGGUGGCAUCUGAUUUAUAAGAACGAUGAUACAAGCUGAUACAAUCAUCCAUAUUACUGGUGAGGCUAGUAAGGACAUCAUCAUCCAAAAGUGGUU
RNAcentral lists this long non-coding RNA (47395 nucleotides) under Solanum lycopersicum (tomato). RNAcentral's name for it is "long non-coding RNA (SLYC_LNC000267)". Lineage: Eukaryota; Viridiplantae; Streptophyta; Magnoliopsida; Solanales; Solanaceae. The record is from RNAcentral.